CUCGUACUGAGGUGGAGCAAAUGCAGACAGAUUUCUUUUCUAGCUAUAAGCUCAGAACAAGUGAACUUCUAUAAAGCACUCAGAAUCUCAGCAGACCAUUCACCAGACAACAACCCAGCUGGCUUCUUAAUCUUCACUAUAUACAGGAUGCAAACAUUGCUGGGAAAAUUAAAUCCAAGCCAGGUUUAGAAACCAUUAAGGCUACUCGUUCUUUUGGGACAGGAGGCUUUAUUAAAAAGAUUUGGAAAAAGACACUGUAUUAUCCAGAUAACCCAGCAGAGUAAUUGCGUUUUCAUUGAAAACAAGAAAAGUUUUCUUCAGACAUGCCAUUGGAGUUUAUUAUAACAGAUCCUGGAGUCCACAGUUGUUUUGGAAAACAGCUCAGACGAAUGAGCAUGUGUUCGGAAAGGUAAAUAUGUUAUAAGGCAUCAUUUGUGUUGUUUGUUUGUAAAACGCUAGUGUAAUCUGUAUUGUUGUCCUGAUCUAUUCUUCAUCGCAUAACUCCCCUUUGGGUUCCAAUUAUAGUUUUUAUAGGCUACAAGGGUUAUUAGUCAUUAGUAGCAUUUCUUUAUCAUUAUAAUUCUCAAUGGUAAGUGUCAAAGUACAAAGGGUUUGAUCCUAAGACUUGUACGAAGAGCUUGCAAUCGGUCAAAUUCCAGGUGAGUGGAAUUAGCAAAUAGAUAAUGUAUUCAUUUUGUCAUGUAUGAUUUGUACAUAGAAAUGAAGGAUGGUGUGUUAAAUGUUGAUAUAAGGGAAGAGAGCAAGGUUGCUCCUAAAUGUUUUUUAUAUAAUCCGUUCUAAAGACAAUGGCUUCAAAAAGGCAUAGCAACAAAUUUUAAGGACAAUCACUGUGGAAAGCUCUGACAUCUUAAAAUCUACAUUUUAGAAGAAAAAAGAUAAUGAUUGAGACUUUCAAAUACAUGUAAAAUAAAUAUUUUAAAUGUAAGUAUUUUUUUAGAAAAAAGAGAAGAACAAGGGGGUAUGUUGGGAAGGAAGACUGUGAAGUACAUGCAAGAAAAAAAUGUUAUGGAAAGAAUAGUAGAUACCUGGUAUUGAGACUCAGUGGAGGUGGUAAACAUUAACACAGUUUAUGUUUUUAAUACUUGAUAUAUGCAUAUCGCUAUUCUGAACAAUAAGUAAGCGGAAUCAGUUUGAUUAUUCAUAGUCAAGACGCAAUAGACUAUCUGUUGCCACAAGACACAUUUCUAUGUUUUAAAUGAGGACUUCAAUACAGUACAUCUUUGAAACUUUGUAAUGUCCAUUUUGCUGUUCAGAACUCCAACAGUUUCACCGAUUUAAUAUUACUUAAUAAUUUAUUGACUGCUUAAAAGCUUGAAACUAUUCCAACAGGCUGAUUUAUGGUAUAAUGAAAUCCUUACAAAACAAUUUACAAUACCAGGGGAGAGUUAUCAAGGCUAAACAUGUGCUAUUGCAGGUGCAAAGUGCUACAUGUUUAGAGACAUUCUACUGGUUUCCAUGGCGAUUGUUCCUUAUAUAGCAGCUUGCCCCAGAACAGCACCUGUUUUUGGCUUGAUAAAUCUCCCCCAUAACUGUUAAAAUAUCAUCACAGGUGCAGCAUGGGAUUGAACAAUAUCUUGCACUUUAGGAAGAACAAUGAGGAUGUAAAUUUUGGCUAAAUAAUUAUGUUAUUAUUGUUUUUUUACUUACAAAAUGUUGACAUAUUCUGUGACAUACAUUGUUAUGAGAUUUCUGUGUUCUCUCUGAAGAUAUUUUUAGUAAUCCCCUUAUUCAGCAAGUGUGAAAAUAUAUUUUUCCUGCUGUGCAUAAGCUAUCGUAUAGUAUGUAGCAUCAAUAGAACUCUGCGUGAUGUUAUUAAAGAGUCAGUUUUGGUUAACUCUUUCUGUGCCGGUGUAUUACAAAUAUCGAUACAAGAUGAAAUGUUAACCAUUUUCUGUAGGACUCUGGCAGAAUAGUAUUGUUUCUUUAAAAAGUCAUUUCAUACCCCUAAAGAACUUUAGCUUGCUGAAAAACUUUGUGUGAAGAUUGUGUGCUUGUUUUUUGAUUUUUUUUAAAUGUACAAAGUUCAGUAGAAAUUGGCACUUUUAUAAAUAAACCUGGUAACACUCACUUGGCUUUCAAUCAGAAUACAGGUUAUGUGGCAUCCUGGUUUGGUUAGAUCAGUGGAGCUGAACUUAAAGGGACUCUCCAGUGCCAGGAAAACAAACUGUAGGUUCCACUGCAGAUCCCCUCUCCCUCCCACCCCCCAUCCCAAGUUGCUAAAGGGGUUAAAACCCCUUCAGUGACUUACCUGUAUCCAGCGCCGAUGUCGCUCGGCGCUGGUUCAGGGUCCGCCCAUGCUCCUCCACCGCAAAAGUCAUCCGGCGGGGAGACCUAUUGCACAUAAGCGGCUGCUGGCAGGGGGAGACCUAAUGCACAUGCGCGGCAAUGCCAUGCACGCGCAUUAGACCUCCCCAUAGGAAAGCAUUGAAAAUGCUUUCCUACAGGGAUUUCAGCGACGCUAGAGGUCCUCACAUAGCGUGAGGGCGUCCAGCGACGCUAUGGCACACGAAAUGUGUGCUAUAAACCCGGAAGUGCCUUCUAGUGGCUGUCUAUUAGACAGCCACUAGAGGAGGAGUUAACGCUGCAAGGUAAAUAUUGCAGUCUAUGAAAUCUGCAACAUUUACACUUGCAGGGUUAAGGGUAGUGGGAAUUGGCACCCAGACCACUCCAAUGGGCAGAAGUGGUCUUGGUACCUGGAGUGUACAUUUAAGAGGCAGCAAUUGCCCAUAGCACCUGCCUUGCAAAGGCUUAUAAUUGAGCUGCAUUGGGAAAUCUAUGAUUGGACAGCCGCAGAAAGUGUGGGCGGAGUCAGAUGGGGAGGGUUUGCAAAGCCUGAAAACAAGAGAUCUGCAGGUUUUUCAAGCUGUUUUUUUAUUUCACAAAUGAGCAAAUGCAUAAUUUAAUGCAUGCACAUUUUCAUUUAGGGUAUGUAUGCUAAACGGUGACUUUUAUUUAUUUUGUAUUUGAACAGUGAAGUGUCCCUAUAAAGCAACUUUGAACCAUAUGGUAAAUUUGAAUAGCUGAAAAUAUGAGCAUAAGCAGAUGCAAUGGGAAAGUUAGAAUUUGCAGGGGUAGUAUGUCUACCAUCAGUUUGUAUAGGGAACAACCAGCCACCUGUCAAAUGAGAAGGAUUGUGCAUUCAAUAUGUAUAAAAUGGCAAUGAUUGCAUUAUAUGUAUCUCAAAAGCAAACCUUCUCAAUAAUUGAGCAUUUAAAUAAAAUACAGUGUCACGUGCCAUUCAAUCAGGUAAACGUAAAUGUACUCAUCAGUGCUGAAGAAUAUAAUUGUAUUCAAAAGAGAAAAAGUCAGGUUUAAUGCAUCAAGUCUCGGCUGUACACUUGAACCUUUAUCAAAGCAUUAAAUUUAAGAACUAAAACUUGUUCAUAAGAAAAUGAAUCAAAAAUUUGCCUGUGUGAUCUUCAGUGAUUAUACUUUUGUGUAUAUUUUUGCUAUCUGUCUAUUAAACUAUCUUUUGACACACAUAGACAGACAGACAUAUAGAGAUAGAUAGAUCGAUAGACAGAUCUUUUAUCAAGUCUAAUGCUAAUUUGUAUGACCAUUCUAAAAACUUUUUUUGUGAUUUAUGUGCCUUAAAUUUGUAAGUACUUCAUUGUUCAUCGUUACUGCUCCUUUCUAAAGAAACUAAAAGAAAUUAUUUUCCAAAUAUCAUGAGGCUUCACUUCCAACCAUCACAUAAAUUAUACUUUACAUGACAUUAGUACACGGCAGAGUUGUUCAGUUCUUGAAAAGUCUUACACAGUCGGUAAUUCAUAUUUUUAAACAGUUCACUCUGAAUAUCCUUGCACUCUUCCUGAGAAAUCAUGGAGUGAAUGGGUACCUUAUAUUUAUCUUGACAUAAGUAGUUCAGGAAAUAUUAGAGCUUUAAAUACGCUGACAUCCACCUUACGAAAUGUGAGCCAAAGUGGCCAGCGAGAGAGAAAAAUGUAGAAUUCAGAUAAGUGGUAGAUUUUUUUCUAAUCUUGGUUAUUUUUUCUUACAUUCUAGAUCAGGGGUAGGCAACCUUCGGCACUCCAGAUAUUGUGGACUACACCUUCCCUGAUGCAUUGCUAGUAUUAAGACUUAACAAGCAUUAUGGGAGAUGUAGUCUACAAUUUCUAGAGUUGUCUACCCCUGCUGUAGAUGAUUGAAGUGAUAUUGGUACUAUGGAUCUCUCGUUUGAGAACAGGUUAAGAAAAAACAGGACUUUUCAUGGCACACAAAGAUCUCUUCUUCCACUGCACUGAUAAUCUAGAGUUCCACUUCUGUAUUAUCAAUAUCAGUUCUGUCCAACCUGAUGAGCAGUAACAGGCUGAGAGAUCUAGGGCAGUGGUCCCCAACCCAGUCCUCAUGGCCACCAAAAGUCCAGGGUUUCUUUAUUUCUCUUUUUUAUUCAAAUGGAGAUCCUGACAAAACCUGAAAUGUUGGUGGGCCAUGAGGACUGAGUUGGGGACCAAUUUUCUAGGGGCGAGUUAGCUCUCUCAGCCAAUAACUGUUUUUGUCAUUGGAUUAAAGUGACAUUGCUAAGAUGCCACGUAGAGCCUUGGUUUUUGUUAUAUCACUCCUAAACGGUUUAACAAACAAUAAAUAAGAAUGAGGGACAGCGCUCAGAAACUCUUGUCAGGAUAACCAUUACACCGAACUGUAAUGGUUAGGUUGUUUCGAGACCCCUUUACAUUCUCCUAAUUGGAUUUGAGAAAAUGUUUUGAAAUGUUUACCAGAACAGCUGACUUUGGUGCUUCCUUAUAACUAUUUGGGUUCCAAAGAGUUAAUUACAGCUUUUUUAUUCAAGGGGUUAAAAUCUGUUCAGUACCGUGACAUUGUGUGCCAUUGGUUUGUAAACAUUCUUUUUUUUUUUUUUCUAGAACACAAAGCAAACCACCCGAGGAUGGUCUGUGUGCUGGGGAUAAUUAUACUCUCCUGCCCUCCAGGGAUGCUUUGCUAGAUGGGAUAGUACAUGUGUUAUUAUGCACUGCAGUGAGCAUACUCUUGCAGGAUGAUUGCAGUUUUUUUUCUCUAUAACUAUGAUUGUUUCUUAAGAGUGCGUCAGAUAGUUAAAAAGUAAUAAGGGGAAAAUCCGGGGGUGACUGAGCACUAGAAAGAGCUUACAAGAUAAUUGUAAAUGAAUAGCAUUCAAACCUUCCAGAAAACAAUGAUAGCAGCAAUGUGUUUAUCAUCUAACAUACAAUCACUAAGGUUCUAAGAAUUCAUCUGGAAUAAGGAUAAAAUGACAUGUAAAUGUUAAGAUACUUGCGUUUUAAACCUGAGCAGUGUACAUCUAUGUUUCAGUAUGAAACAUGUCAGUUGCUUAAUAUGUGUAUGCCACAUUGGUAUUGCAGAAUAAAUAGCGCUUCAGUAUUUGUUUAAUAUCAGCAAAAGGCAGUGCAUCCCUGUCACGGUACUGAACAGAUUUUAACCCUUUGAAUAAAAAAGCUGUUAUUAACCCUUUGGAACCCAAAUAGUUAUAAGGAAGCACCAAAGUCAGCUGUUCUGGUAAAUAUUUCAAAGUGUCUAUUCGCUGAACAACUAUUUUUAAAUCCAAUUAGCAGAAUGUAAAGGGGUCUCGAAACAACCUAAUCAUUACAGUUUGGUGCAAUGGUUAUCAUGAUGAUAGCUGUCACUGAUUGGCUUGGGGUGCACAGAUAUGUUGACAGCAAAUCCCUCUCUGCCAGAUGUGCCAUCAGGUGACCUUACUUGUAAAAUACAAAAGAUAAAAUAUUCAACAUCACUUUUUUUUUCUUUUUACUAAAAUAGUAAUUUUUGUUUUCCUUUUCACUGAAAGGUAAAAAGUUAAUUAUAAUAUUAGCUUUAAUAUGUAUUCUAAAUGAUGUAACAUUGAAAAUGAUGUAUCAUUACUUAAGUAACGUUACCAUGUGAUCCAUCUUUUAUUUGUACACAUACAUGAAUUUGAGGCUGUCAUAUACAAACUCGUUUUGUUUUCCCAGAAUCCUCGUAGCUGAUACUUAUUUAAUUUCAAACACGCAAAUAAAAAUAUCAUAUCUUUCAAACAAAGUUGAACCUGAUUCGCAUCAAUAACUGUUUAAUAGUGUUUCAGGGAAAUUCUAUGAAGCAUCUGCCCAGCAGACAAAUUCAAAAUUAUUUUAAUCAAUUUUUAGGGAAUACUUAACUUUUUAGCAUUUAAGCCAAGAGAUAACAGAAAGUAACUCACAAUUUCCUACCCAUCAUUUAUAUUUAUAUUGUAAUUAUAUCAUUGUAUACACUGUGAAAAAUACCAAGUUUAGAUUUUAAGAGAAACCAACAGUCAAAUGUUUCCAAUUUCCAAUUCUCUUAGAAUUGACAGUUCAUAAUCAUGAGGGUGAUGCAACCACAUGUACCUUCUGUGCAAAUACUGACUUAUAAACUAAUAACGCAAUAUAAAAUAGAUUAAAUGUAAGUUUAUGGAAAGAAGAUUGUAAUAGAUAUCUUAUAUCAGUAUGCUGUUUUAGGACUAUUCUACGAUUUCUGAGACUGAUUAGACUGGCAUUAGCUUGGUAGCAUACUUAAAAAUAUUGUUGAUGAGACGUGAUUGAAUUGCAAUCUGGAAGAGAACUCUCAAACAAAUACUUCAAAAGAUAGCAAAUGAGAAGAGAACUCGCAAAACAAGAACAGUACAGACACAAAAACUGGAUACAGUUGAAAACAGUCCCAAGUAACAAAGUGGCAUAGUUACCUAGCUGAAAAGAGACAUGUUUCCAUCAAGUUUAGCCUUUUUUCACAUUUGUUUUUGCUGUUAAUCCAAAAGAAGGCAAAAAAACUAAACAAAAACCAGUCUGAAGUGUUUCCAAUUGUGCAACAAGCUAGGAAAAAAAAUCCUUGUUGACCCCAGAAUAGCAGUCAGAUAUCUCAUUGGAUCAAGAAGUAACUACCCAAGUAAUUAAAAAAAAAUAUAUAUCCCUGUAUAUUAUGUUUUGCAAGUAUUUAUCCAAUUGCUGUUAAAACAUCUGUACAGACUCUGAUGAAACCACCUCUUAAGGCAGAAAAUUCCACAUCCUUAUUGUUCUUACUGUAAAAAAACCCUUUCCUAAUUGUGUGACCUUGUAUCCUAUGUAUAGUCCUAUUUAUUGAUAGAUUUACAGACAAUGGUUUGUAUUGUGCACAGAAUUGACAUCAGUCAGCCUGUAACUCUGAACUGGCUAAUGAUAUCAUAAUGACGGUGCCCAAGGUGGAGUUACGCCACCGUUAGCAAAGUGCUAUAUCUCUCUGAAUGCAGCAUUUCAUUGUAAAACACUGCACAUACAGACUCCAAGCACCAUGACUACUUCAAAUCAAUUUAAGUGGUUAUUGUGCUUGGACAAACCCUUUAAGUAGCACGUUCAUUCAUCCAUGCAGACCGUUGAUUAUCGUAUAGAGCCUCCAGCACAGAGCAAUGCCAUAUGCAUAUGCAGUUUGAUUUGGAGUAGUCCUACUACUUGACUAAUACACUAAUAAAAUACAUCUAACUAUCUACUUUUGUUAUUGAACAAUCAGUGAAUCACAGCAACAAAAUUACGAAAGAAAUGUAAUUCUCAGUUAAGCAUAGAAUAAUCGUUCCCUCCGAAAACUUGUUUUGGUAAAAUAAUAGAGGUAAAAAUGAUAUGCCCAUUAUGAUCGACAAAAGUAUGUUUUCAAAUCCCAUACUGCGUGAUGUGUGAUGUCACACUAAAAAUAUUUGACAUUGUGAUUGACCCUGCACAGUGUAUGAAAUCCUAUCUCGGUAGAACUGACAGCUGUUUCCCAGUCUCACCAGUCUUGGGCAGAAGAAAUAUAUUUAUUCUGAUGCUGCUCUAACGAUAAAGCUGCCAUAGCCCCAGUCUUAGUUAUGAAGAACCAAAAUUAUGUCUCAUGGUUCAUGAUAAUGUCUCCAUGUAAUAUAUAUGUCCACACAAUUCCAGGGCUCAAAAUAGCCAUGAUGCUCUCACCCCUGUACAAAUCAGUGAAUAAAUCCAAUGUUAUCUGUAGCUCUGGGUCACUAAGUAAGCACUCAGGGUUAAUAGUACUGAAAUGUACAGCACGGCAUUGGAAUAUGAAGCAGGAAUGCACUGCAACCCACACUAGCAGCAGAGGUGAUAUCCUCACACUAACAGGUUCUGGUGCUGUCUGUAGUAAGACAUUCCCUGUCAUAUUUUUUAUUUUCUGUGUUGCUCUGUUUUAGGGUUCCAACAUCACAAUUCACGAGUAAGACACUCAGCUUCAAAAGAAGCUCUUACAAUUUCAUAAGAUCCCUUCUCUAUUCCCUGUAAACUCUGCCCUCUAAUCACAUACACAGUCCCCGACUCCGAGCCACAACGUGCUUGGAGUCAUUGAUUUACUUACAAUACCCUAGUGGCCUCUGAAGUUAUUCUGUGAAGAAUAUUAAGCGAGUAUGUGGAACAAACACAGCUCUUCAGAUGAACCAAAACGCUAAGAGCAAAGCAGACAUUUGGAACACAAUAUGCACUUAGAAAGGAAGAGGAAAACGUGUCUACAAAGCAGUACCAUGACAUACUAAGUCUCCUACGAUGGCAAAGGCAGAUAUAAAAAUUAAAAAAAAAAAUUCUGAAUAACAUUGUAUCUUGCGAUCUACAGGGGACUUAAAGCAUCCUAAUAGAGACAGACCCCUGGCCAUGUCAACCUUUAUGGCAGACAUAUCUUUUGAUGUCUGAGAAUAAUUGCUUGGACCCCCAACUCUUCUCAUUUUUCUCUUGACUAUGAAGGAUAAAAUACAUUUUCCCUGGAUAUUGAUGCAGUAACUGUACCCAAAGUCACUCCAAAAUACUUUUUGUUCUGAUGACAAGGUGUAAGGUGUUGAAGUCUUUCAGGGAUAUUUCUACCUCAGCUUAUAAUGCUGACUUGCAAGAUCGCUUACUUAAAACAGGAUUUAAAGGGACACAAUAGUCACCAGAACCACUACAGCCUUUCCCUGCAGUCUUAGCACUGUAAACACUGCCUUUUCAGAGAAAAGGCCACUAGAGGUACUUUCUAGUCCAGUGAUGCUCAGUGUGCAGCACUGGUGUUCAGUGUCUCCACGCUCUCAUCUUGUACAAUGGACUGCCUUGGUUUUUUACUUCUCCUAGGACAGCAUGACAGAUAUAAUAGCAGUGUUGGUAUAAAACACACUUUUCUUUUUUGCUAUACAUAUCUUUUGUUUAAAAGUUUCUUUGGAUAGUCUAGGCAUUCCAUCCAUUUUACUUUGUGUUUAUUUGUCUUCACAUGGUUUAAAGGACCACUAAAGUUGGCCAGGCCACUUUAUCUUGAUGUAAUGGCUUGCGUGUAGUGGUCCUGUAUGUUUAACACACCACCCCCUACACCAAAUAAGUGUUAAGUGAGGUAUAAGCAAGAGUACUUAACUCAAUGUAGUGUAGCUGCCCAAGAGGCCUUCCUCUGUGGUGUCCCUUACAACAACAAUAUUUAAGGUUUUACAUUGCAGGGUUAAACAUACAGGAAUACAUACACAAAUCUGGGAUACAGCUUGGUAACUAAAAAAGAUAAAUUGAACAGCACAUAGUGAUGUAUUGUAAUAUAUACAAUUAAUGAGGUAGAUUACACUCACAAGAUGUAAGAUAAAUGACCACCUUGCAGCCCUGAAAGGGCUAUGGUAAUCCACUGUCCUUUCUUUUAAGAAACAAAAAUCUCAGAAGAUGGAGUCAGGAACAAAUACACAUUUAUUUAGGCAAUAAUAAUCCUCCAAUAGUCAAAAAAGUAGUAAAAACAAAUGAACAUUAAAACACAAAUAUCCAACGCGUUUCUUCCACACAGGGUGGACUUACUCAUGGAUAAAAAUCAGCAAGUAAUAGUAUACAGUUCAAUGUAUAGUCCUAAACCCCCCAAAUGUCCUUUAUAUAGUACCUGCCCUUGCUCUUGAUUGGAGAAUCAUCCCAAGAGUCUUGCAUUUAGUCCCAAUCAGCUCCUCUUCUUCAGACAGAGAACUUCCUCAUAGGCUGUUUGGUAAUCUCUUUAGCCACUUCAUGUUAGUGGCUUGAUUUUUCUGAUGAUCCUCAGGCAGGAUGUGCUUAAAAUACAUCACUAUGUGCUGUUCAAUUUCACACUGACAGCCACUAGAGGCGCUUCCUACUGCAGCAACAGAGUCAUGUGGGAGAGCUUUGACAUGUGCAUUAGGUCCAAAAUGCUCCUCUGUGAAGAGUGUUGGAUUGGACUAACUCUGAAGGAGGCCAUGCCUCCUUGUUGUUUUUGUGGAAUGAGGAGAGGUAAGCAGCGUGGAGGGAUCCUCGGUGCUGGAAAAAAGUUAGUAAAAACACUUUUUUGUUUCAUUGUCUAUGUUAAAAGGAGGAUGGCACCUUUCUAGAUAUGGACAUGGACACUAAAUUGUUAAAAAUUUGUAUUGCUAACGCUAUAGUGCUCCUUUAAUACUAAUGUUUUUCUUACAUCUCCCAACCAAAUGAAAGUAUGAGUCACUAGAUUAAGUGAAUAACCUUUUGUGCUGUUCUGAUCAUGUUCUGAUCAUGUUUGCAAAUCCUUGCCAUUAUAUUAAGCAAUAUUUCUCAAUCACGUGACAAUUUAUACGUUUCUCCAUAUUAUUUGACAUUUGAAUGAUUUGAUUAUUUUUUUAGUUGUUUUGCUAUCUGUAGACAUUUGACUCACGUGUGGAAAUUUUCUCUGAAAAAAUUACCACAAUGCUCCAUGGAUUGUCCAGAGGAAAAAAAUCAUGAUAGUACAAAUAUAUGCAGAAAACCUUUCGAAGGGAAGUAUAUCUUCCCAGUCUAAGAUAAAAGAUACAAGGAAACAAACAACAGAAGGAUCAGUGCUAAUUAACAAAAGGCAAAAGGGCAGCAAUCCAAAUUAAGGGAUACCUCUCAGACCCUUAGUGAAUGGGAAAAGCAAAAACACAGAAACAAGGGCUGCACCUGAGAUAUACACAAAUAUUGUAAACAACGACUUGUAUUACGAAGGACUAUUGAUGUACUAAAAAUGGUCCUGAUAAAAUGUUUUGAAUAAAAUACCUUAAAGUCAAGUGGUCAAAGGACCAGAGCAGAACAAUCUAGAAAGGUAUGCAGGCGCUCAAAGUUCUUUGAUGUAAUUCAUAUAUAGCAUAGAAAGACAAAAGUAGAAAAGACUCCAAUAGUGCAAUAUAUCAAUAUGAUCAGAGUGGAGGUAGUAAAAAUAACGAGGAGUUGCUCACAUUUGGUGGAGCUAUAGCCAGCUCCAGCGUAUAUGGUGUGCAGUGGUAUAAUCCCCAUUUACAGGGUAUGAUGUGAAAGUCCUCAAUAGGAAAGAUUCCAGAAGCAAAAAUAAAAGGAAACAAAUAGUGCUCUCUGAAUUAUACAAAUAUUGUUACAAAUUUAAUAAAAGAUAUAUACUCACAAAGAUAGAGCAGACCAACUGCUCUUUGAAUAAUGAAUACCCACCUAGGAUUCUUUGUAUUGGAUAAGAAAUGGUAAUAUAAAAUGCCAGGAGAUUUGAAAUAAAAAGGUAAUUGGCACAGGUAGAGUGACCAAAAAAACCUAAUUUAAACAAAAUACAAAGUAGUAACAUCCAUAACAUGUUUCACCAAUAGGCUUAAUUAAAUGGAAGAAAAAAAAUCUCCUGGCAUUUCAUAUUUUAUAUUACCAUUUCUUAUCCACUCCAAAGAAUCCUUCCUAAUAUCAGUCGUUGUUUAGAAUAUCUGUGUAUAUCUCAGGCGCAGCCUUUGUUUCUGUGUUUAAGAUAAAAGAUAAUAGUAAAUCUAUUUAUACUUUUUAUUGUCUGAAAGUCUAAUUUAACAGCUUCAGUACAGAUUUUAACGAACUGAAGUUCGAAACAAAACAUAUCUCGAAGUCUAGUUUUUUUGUAAUUUGCCAGAACAGUGUGUGUUACCAUAUUCACCAGAGUGAAAUGAUUCACCUUUUACUAAAGAGAAGGAACAAAGUCUAACUCUCCCAAUGGUCCACAAUGGGACCAGCAGGUCUGAGCCUCCAAUAUAUGUAAAAGGAAAAAAACUAAAAGUCUCCUAUUUAAAUUUCAAGUCCACUGUACAUUCUGGCCCCUAUACAUUUGUCAUAUGGUCUGAUCAAAUAAGAUAGGUAGAAAAAGGGAGAAAAAAAAGCGGGUAAGAAUAAAUGAGGGGGAGGGAGAAUAUAACACCCCAUGCAUCUUUCAUGCAUGUCUAGUCGCCCCACAUGCCUUCCAUACAUGUCUACAGAGAAGUGACAACUGCCUUUCAGAGAGCUCUUGUUGGUUACCUCAAAAGUUGCAUGGUGCGGAAAAGUCGACAGUGCUAUGCUGAUUCCAUAGCAGAAGAAUGCCAAACUUCCACUGGCAUUAAUAUCAGUAUACAAACUGUGCAGCUUCAUGGAAUGGGUUUCCAUGGCCAAGGGAUACUUUGUCCAUUCCAGAUUUAAAGGCAUAGUACCAUAUAUAUAUUUUUAUAUUUUUAUUCUCUAUGCAGUAGUAUUUUAGCCAUUAGUCAGCUCCUGGUAUUCCCACUCUUCUAGAGAGUUCUUUUCCCUUGUUCUAUAUAGGUUUUUAGUGAAUCCCUAUCAUUACCAGUUUUCGAGCAGCUUAGUGCUAGUCUGUCUCCCUCUCUCCUGUGUGGUACAUUAGGUACACCAGAGCCAUUCUACAUGCAAACCAAACCUCACAUCACCAAGUACAAUGCCAAGUGUUGGAUCGAGUGGUGUAAAACACGCCACCACUGGACUUUGGAGCAGUGGAAAUGUGGAUUGACAAAUCACGCUUUUCUGUUUUGCAGUCUGAUGUGCGAGUCUGGUUGGCAGAUGCCUGGAGAAUGAUACCUGUUUGACUGCAUUGUGCCUACUGCAAAGUUUGAUUGAGGAGGGAUAAUGGUAUGGGCUUGUUUUACAGGGGUUGGGCUAGUCCCCUUUUUUCCAGUGAAGGGAAAGCUUCAAUGAUUCAGCAUACCAAGACAUUUUGGACAAUUGCUAUGCUUACAGCUUUGUGGGAACAGUUUAGUGAAGGUCCUUUUUUACUCCAGCAUGACUGUGCCCCAGUGCACUAAAGCAAGACAUGGUUGGAUGGGUUUGGUGGAAUAACUUGAUCAGCCCAAUCAGAGGCUUUACCUUAACUCCACUGAACACCUUUGGGAUGAACUGGAAUGGGAUUGCGAGCCAGGCUUUCUCAUCCAACAUCAGUGCCUGACCUCACUAAUGCUCUACUGGAACAAUUCCCACAGAAACACUCCAAAAUCUUGGAGUGGACAGCCUUCCCUGAACAGUGGAAUCUGCUAUAGCUGCAAAGGAGGGAACAACUACAUAUUAAUGUCGAAGUAUUUAGAAUGCGAUAUCAUAAAACACCCCGUUCGUGUAAUGGUCAGGUGUCCCAAUACUUUUGUCUAUAUAGUGUACUUGUCUGCUUGCUGUGGGUGAUAAUGGGCAAGUAGAAUUUUUAUUAUAUGACAGCAGUAUCCUUUAGCCAUACACAUUAAAAAAAAAGUCUAUUUCCUUUCAACGUUUGAUGAAAAGAUGAUUAUUAAAUUAAAAAAUAUUUUUGAGCUGAUAGUUGUCCUUUGAUGGUGGUUAUUUAAUCGAUCCGAACCAACAAAAUGCCUAUCAGGAGCAGAUAAACUGCCAAUAAAGUGUAUUGGCUCUGAUUAAAUUGUAGCGAAAGUGUAGCGAAAAUAUAUAUAUAUAUAUAUAUAACAAAAACGCACUCAGAAGGUAUUUCAGGGACAUUAUACAGGAAUUAAGGAACUGUGGCAUUACUUACCUCCACCGAGCUGCGCAGACCCCCUCCUGCCACGCGGUCCGACCGCGCCACGCGACCGUGUGGCACACUGAGGGAGAUUCACCUCUCUCGAUCCUAGCAAACCUCCUCCUGCCGCGCGGUCUGACUAAACUACGCGGCCGCGCGACAGGCCGUGUUUCUAUAGAUGUGGACAUGACGUUACGCCCACUCUUAAAGUGACCAUGUUAUCGUUGCAAUCCUAAUCUGUUUUGGAUCACAGUGAUGACUUGGUACUAUUAGAACAUAGUUAAGUCUAUUUAAGGCUUAUUUUAACCCCCAUUCAUUGCCAUAUUGUGGUUUCUGUUAGAACCUCGUUUAGUGCUCCUAGUGAUUCUCUUGUGAUUUCCUGUGUUUGACCUCAGCUUCGUAUUUGACUCAUAAUUUUUGGUAUCCUGACCCCGGCUUCGUAUUUGACUCGUGAUUUCUGGUAUUCUGGCCCCGGCUUUGUCUUGACUUUGAGUAUUCAUGCUAUUCCUGUCCUUGACUUAUUCUUGACCUUGGUUCUUGUUAAUACGUUAGGUCCGGCCAUUCUAAGGCUCGGUAAUGCGUAUUUCGGAUCCACCUUUUGUGGUUUCCUCUUUCCUGUGUGUUGGGUUACGACUCCCGUGACAGGAACCUGGACCAAGCAUGAAAACCUGCAACAUGAGCAAUAAGUGAGCUAUUACUAUUUUUUAAAGUCAAUUUGCAUUGUUAGUUUGUUCCCUACUUCGGGGUAGCAACACUAUAUGUUUAUUUGUUAAGUUAAAUCAAGGCCUGUUAUUUGAAUAAUUUAUGGUGUAGAGAAAUUACUGUGAACAUUCUAAACCACAGUCAUUCCUAAACGUGGUACAUCAAUCGUGUAUGAUACAACUGUGAAUGGAACGUGCUGGAGAUGAUAAUAGCUGAUGAGAACAGGUGCAAAUGCUAUCAGCAGUUCAAUUCAUCUUAUCUGUUAAAUGGAAUUGCUUCCAAGCACUUAAACAAAUGUGCCAUAAAUCUUUGUUGAAGAAGGGUUUAGGAGAUACGCUCAUCUCUCAUUGAAAAUAAAUCGUUAUUAGCUGAGCUACAUCAUGGUUUGGACAGAGCUGACAUCACAAUAUUCAAAUCUUGAGGAUUUACAGUUAAUUCAGGAUAUCAAGAAAAUCAUCUUUUUAUGGUUUACAUUUUGAACAAUUUUCUUGCAUAAUCUAUAUAAUAAUUUCAAAAUAGGGGUCACUUUCAGCUUGGAGUGUCCAUUUAGCUAUUGAUAGAAAAUAUAUUAAAGCCACCAGGUCAAGUAAAUCUGAAUGCUGCUAAAUUAUUGUGAGCUUGUCAUAUAUGCAAGCCAACAAAUCUAAAUUUGUAAGUCUUGAGGACUUAAGACGUAAAACCAAAGAAAAAUAAUGUAACAAAUCUACACAAUAUCUACCCAUCAUUCAUAGAAAUGACAUUCUGAGGAUACAAGAAAAAGAAAAUCAUACAUUUUGUCAGAAGGCAAAAGUAUAGAAGCUCUUAAGUCACUGUCUUACAAUACAUAGAGAAGAUGGGCAAUUAAUUACACAACAUUAUAUAGACCAAAGAAAAACAAGAGACAUGAUCACGGAUAGAUUAGAUAUCAUAUAGAUUGUAUGCAUGCUAACCCCCAGAAGCAUAUCUGUAACAGAUCAUCUGGCACCCCGACUGGGCACCUCCGCCAACAGAUGCUUCCUAGCUGACCCUGAGGACCAUAAGCACCGCACCAGACACCACAAGCACCGCAGACUUCACAACCGCCGUAGCUUAACUGGAAUCUUUCCAUCUUCCUCCCAACCUGGGACAGACCUCUCCUACUCCAGAGAUCGUAGCAGGAACAGCUCUUAGAAGAGCUAGUAAUUAGAACCCAGGGGAGUAUAAAGAGUAUAGCAAUCCCCAGUGUGAAUAUAGCAGUUCCCCUCCAACCACGAGACAAGGCUUUGUGUUGAGGGUUAAACAGGAACUCAAUUUUAAUAGAGGCACACUGGCCUUUUAUGCAGGUUUCCCGACAACAGUGACGCCCAGGCAGACCUUGUUGGGCACAGGGACACAAAGUGUACAAGCCAAUAGAAACAAUGUGACAAUGAAUGACACUCCCACAUACAAUACACAAUCCCUCCCCUCUGCCUGUCAUAUAAUUAAGGUAGAUAAUACAUUAACUUAAUUAUCCCCAGACAGAAAAACCAAACAUUUUUACAAAGUCCAAUAAAUACCCCAAAAUACAACAUAUCCCCAUAAGUCACAUCCCCUGAUAGCUCUGAUCUGGGUGAACAACAUAUCCAAAAAUCACCCAGAUUAGAGCAGGGGUUCAGGAAAUCCCUGGAAGUCUCUUUUUGACCGACAGCACGCAUGGUUUCAUGCCCAAAACAGUUCCAGAGAAUUAGGCUGCCACAUGUUCGAAUGUCGUGUGGCGGCCACUUCGACAACUUCGACACUUCAACUGUAUCCGAAGUGCCACAACGACCACUUCAAAAGUUCGAAGGACCAUUGUUCACAGUUCCAAUAGGCACAAUUAGGGUAAAAGUCUGGCAAGUAGUCCCCUCCAAAACCCAGUGGCGAAGCAGCUUUCAUCACAAUAUCCAUCACCAAAGGAAAUGUGUAGCAAAUGGGCAUUGCCAAUGUAAAAUGAAGCACCAUCAAAGCACCGUUAAAGGGACACUAUAGUCACCAAAACUUUAGCUUAAUGGAGCAGGUAUAGAUUAUGCUCCUGUAGUCUCACUGCUCAAUUCUCUGUCAUUUAGGAGUUACAUGAAUUUGUUAAUGCAACCCUAAAAAAAACCUCCCUGCAUGUGAUUUACACAACCUUCCUAAACACUUCCUGUAAAGAGUCAUCUAAUGUUUACACUUCCUUUAUUGCAAAUUAUUUUUAAUUUAUAAUUUCUUAUCGCCUGCUUUGUUAAUAGCUUGCUAGACCAUGCAGGAGCCUCCUGUAUGUAAUUAAAUUCCAAAUGACAUAGCAGGAGAUAAAAGCCUUUUAAAGUAAGUGACAUCAAAUUGAAAAUGAAACAAUUUUGUUUUCAUGCAGACUGUGUCAGUCACAGCCAGUGGAGUUGUGGCUAGGGCUGCAAAGACAACAAAAAAUAUUUAAUUUUGUUGAGCAGUGACACUUCAAAUGAAUGAUCUAUACAAAAAAAAACUGCUUAAUUACGCUAAAGUGGCUAUAGUCUCCCCUAAAUAAUAAAUUAAUCAAUGUCAGCUCAUCUGAAAGAUUGUGUGUAACAACAUCAACAUAUAGCAAAAACGAAUACAAGCAAGCUAUGGGGGGUCUACUAAAUAAGCAACCUUAUGAAGUUUAGUGCACUGAACUCUAAUAUCAUGUUAUCCUUAUAAUAGAGAGGUUUCUUUGAAUAUAAUGCAUGGGAAGGGGAUGUAAUAAUGUGACGGUGAUAUAGGACAUGAUUAGAGAGGGGUAAUGUGACAUGGGCAAGUAGAGAGAAUUUUAAAGUGACAUUAUGAGAUGAAAGGAUGUAAAUAUACUCCUUUAUAUAUAUGUGUACAACUUUACAUUCAAACUCAUUGACUCAAUGGAAUGAAAAUCUGCAUUCACAUACACACUAUAUACACAAACAGCCCAGCAGUCAUACACAUACACUGAAAGGGUUAAAGUUCAGUACAGGGAGUGCAGAAUUAUUAGGCAAGUUGUGUUUUUGAGGAUUAAUUUUAUUAUUGAACAACAACCAUGUUCUCAAUGAACCCAAAAAACUCACUAAUAUCAAAGCUGAAUAUUUUUGGAAGUAGUUUUUAGUUUGUUUUUAGUUAUAGCUAUGUUAGGGGGAUAUCUGUGUGUGCAGGUGACUAUUACUGUGCAUAAUUAUUAGGCAACUUAACAAAAAACAAAUAUAUACCCAUUUCAAUUAUUUAUUAUUACCAGUGAAACCAAUAUAACAUCUCAACAUUCACAAAUAUACAUUUCUGACAUUCAAAAACAAAACAAAAACAAAUCAGUGACCAAUAUAGCCACCUUUCUUUGCAAGGACACUCAAAAGCCUGCCAUCCAUGGAUUCUGUCAGUGUUUUGAUCUGUUCACCAUCAACAUUGCGUGCAGCAGCAACCACAGCCUCCCAGACACUGUUCAGAGAGGUGUACUGUUUUCCCUCCUUGUAAAUCUCACAUUUGAUGAUGGACCACAGGUUCUCAAUGGGGUUCAGAUCAGGUGAACAAGGAGGCCAUGUCAUUAGAUUUUCUUCUUUUAUACCCUUUCUUGCCAGCCACGCUGUGGAGUACUUGGACGCGUGUGAUGGAGCAUUGUCCUGCAUGAAAAUCAUGUUUUUCUUGAAGGAUGCAGACUUCUUCCUGUACCACUGCUUGAAGAAGGUGUCUUCCAGGAACUGGCAGUAGGACUGGGAGUUGAGCUUGACUCCAUCCUCAACCCGAAAAGGCCCCACAAGCUCAUCUUUGAUGAUACCAGCCCAAACCAGUACUCCACCUCCACCUUGCUGGCGUCUGAGUCGGACUGGAGCUCUCUGCCCUUUACCAAUCCAGCCACGGGCCCAUCCAUCUGGCCCAUCAAGACUCACUCUCAUUUCAUCAGUCCAUAAAACCUUAGAAAAAUCAGUCUUGAGAUAUUUCUUGGCCCAGUCUUGACGUUUCAGCUUGUGUGUCUUGUUCAGUGGUGGUCGUCUUUCAGCCUUUCUUACCUUGGCCAUGUCUCUGAGUAUUGCACACCUUGUGCUUUUGGGCACCCCAGUGAUGUUGCAGCUCUGAAAUAUGGCCAAACUGGUGGCAAGUGGCAUCGUGGCAGCUGCACGCUUGACUUUUCUCAGUUCAUGGGCAGUUAUUUUGCGCCUUGGUUUUUCCACACGCUUCUUGCGACUCUGUUGACUAUUUUGAAUGAAACGCUUGAUUGUUCGAUGAUCACGCUUCAGAAGCUUUGCAAUUUUAAGAGUGCUGCAUCCCUCUGCAAGAUAUCUCACUAUUUUGACUUUUCUGAGCCUGUCAAGUCCUUCUUUUGACCCAUUUUGCCAAAGGAAAGGAAGUUGCCUAAUAAUUAUGCAUACCUGAUAUAGGGUGUUGAUGUCAUUAGACCACACCCCUUCUCAUUACAGAGAUGCACAUCACCUAAUAUGCUUAAUUGGUAGUAGGCUUUCGAGCCUAUACAGCUUGGAGUAAGACAACAGGCAUAAAGAGGAUGAUGUGGUCAAAAUACUCAUUUGCCUAAUAAUUCUGCACUCCCUGUAUUUGUCUGCACUAGACUGAGAAUAAUGAUAAAAUCCCCCUUAACACCACCCACACUUAAGCAUAAUAAUGUAAAUAUUACUAUUUUAACACUCCCACCACCAAGACAAUUUAUAAAUGGGGGUGCCUUGGUCCCCCAGGUAAUUUAAUAAUAAAAACCCACCAAAUGUAACUUAGCACAAUAUCUAUGUAAUUGAAAAAUAGUAAUUAGUCUCCUUAGGUAACGUGAUUGUUUACCAGACAAAGGCAGAGCUUAAUAAAGGAAUAUUUAUUAUGAGCAAAAAAUAGUCACAGUGCAUGCAAAAAUAUAGAUGACAAUCAAAUUAGUUACACCAACAACAGAUAAAAACAGAAGGGAUAAAAUAACAAAAGUGCUAAUGACUUACUCAGCUUUUCAAAGUAAAACUUCUGCCCCAGGGAGUCUCAGGCAAGAAAGAGAUAUACCCUGUGGACAGCAAGCCUCGCCCAGAGGUGGAAAUAAGGCGUACCACCUAUAAUAACUAUAAGUGACUACCCCCCUGUGUCCCAGUCCCACAUCAAUCCAAAUAGAAACUUUUCCUUCUAUCUCCUCUUUUGUACUUGCCACAGAAAUAAUAAUUGCCUCUAUGAAUUUGUUACCAUUUCUCUAUUCCAGAGCUUUUGAUUAAUCAAAGGAUCAAUGCAUAUAGUAAACCAUCUGCUCCCUUUCACAUUCCUAUGCAAUUCACACCUUCUGUCAUCUGAUCUUUACCAAGUGGUCAAUUCAUAUAUGCACUACACAAAUUAUAUUAAUAUUCUAUUGUGCAACAAUGAAUUAUGCACCCUUGGUGUGACACUAAACACACACAAGCAGUUAUUCAUACACAGUGUCUCUCAAUGCCAGAUGCACGCCUUGAAUCAAAACAGUUUCAGUUAUAUCUGUUUGAGGUGGUAAGUUCAUUUUUUAAGUACCCUCUAGACUGUAGUACCAUGAAAAGCUAUGGCUACCUACCUACCCUGCAGCUUAUUUAUUUUGUUUUCAACAACAACAAAAAAUUUUCACUAUAGGUUUUUAGAAACUGAUUUAAUUUAUUUUAUUAUGAAAAGUUAUGUGAUAGUUAUUAUCAAACAACAUCACAUAUAAUUUAAAAAAAAAAGUACUGCCUUCUGUUGUUCAUUUAAAGUAUUUUUCUUAACUUCACAUUAUCUCUAAAUUGGGGCACAGAUGUUUUUAAGAUGCUCUGGAUUUGCACUCCCUUGUUGCCGUCAUUUUAUGAAUGGCAUCUCGUAAUGGACCGUGUAACUGGAUUUAAUUUCCAGCAUGGGUACAUGAAAGUUCACAGUGAUUUAUGUCUGAAGGAGGCUUGCUCGAAUACAUAAUAGGAGCUGAUUAACCACUACCAUCUGAUCUUUAUUGUCAAUGGAUUAUAGAGUUCAGAUUUGUCAUGUUAUAAUGUGUGUCAUUUAUGUUUGAUGUUUUCUUCGCUAUACAGGUUUCUUUCUGGCCUUUAACACAAAUAGUAUUUAGAGAAUUACGUACUAUUACUAUAGAACUUAGGAUUUGAAAUGUUAACAAAUAAAUUUUCCUGGGCACUUUGCUGAAUCAAAUCCAGAGUUACUUGGUCUCUUACCUGUUUUGCUUUAGAUGAAAGCUCUCUUUUUAUUGCGUGGCUAGUAGGUGGCAUGUGAGGCUUCAUCAGUUGCUUCCCAAUUUUAGAGGGAGUGCCAUCCUUUUGCAGACAGUCCCAUUUACAUUUAUAGUUGAGCUCUUACAAAGGUCUACAUACCAUCUUUGAGAUCAUAAAAUGACCAUACAUGGUGCUAAAAGAAAUCACUGUAGGAACAAAAGUUGUGAAAUGUGGUCCCUGCAUAUUAAUUCUUGUUUUGUAUUUAGAAAGAGUGUUAGGGCAUAGAAACAAUGGAGAUUUGUAGGUGUCAUUUUUAUAAAAGUGCAAAUUAAGUGACCAUCAUCAUGAAACUGAAAAAUAGAAAAUGUACGUGAAAUGGAGAUGUUGAUAUCAGUUGAAUGUUCUGUACGAAUUUCUCCUAGGCUUCUGUAAAUCCAAAUUUCAGUGUACAAUUAAAAUUUUUUUUUUUUUUGUUUGUUUUGUGUAUAUUUAUUUAUUCCUUUUAUUUAUUUAUUUAUUUUGUUUCUGGUGUAGUACCCCAAAACGGCAGGUAGGGGGGGACAAUACCGUAUAUAUGGAGAUAUUCACCUAGAACAGGAUCACCACAGAGAAGGGGGUAAGCAUGAACAACUCAAGCACCCUCUCCCUCCCAGGUCCCCUGCCUCUAUAGAGGGGCCUGGCAGACAGAGGGUGAUAGGAGUGGGGAUGAUAACGGGGGACCAUGUGAAUCACAGUUUCCCCACCUAAGAUGGCCGACUUGGAUCUCGCGAGUAGCGAGAUCCAAGAUGGCCGUUCGCGCCAAAACUAAGCGCGGCCCGUGAUCGCGUUGAUCGCGGCCCGCUUAGGUGAUAACAGACCCCGGCCCCCCACCCGCCCACCCUGAGCUGCCCGAGCCGCCGGAGAAGCCGGCCGCGCUAAUCAGCCGCGACCACGGCAAUUUAAAGCCGCGGUCGCGGUAAAACCGCGAGAAAAAGCUAGGGGCAGAAAUGAGGAGGGGGGGGGAAAUGGCAGGGGGAGAGGCGCAAAGAAAGGGGGGCUAACCCUUAAAAUAACAAUAAAGAUCUCUACUAGGCAAAAGAUAACAAUAUAAACAAAAUUAUUUAAAAGCAAUAUAUAUACUGUAAGAGUUAUAGGUAAAAUCACUCUGACCUGUGUCCUGGCUGGAAGCAGCAAAGAAAGAGGAAAUGGGAAGCCUGUCAGGGACUUAUAUACAAGAGGUGCUGGACUCUGAUUGGUUAAACUUUUUCUUUUCUGAUUGAUUGACUUGUGCUGCUGGAGGCAUAAAGUAAAGAAAGUUUAUGCAAAAUAGGAAGCCUCCUGUCAUGUAAUAAAAUUAAAUGUGUCUUCCAGCCCUCAGCCUAGAUGAGAAAAGUGUAACAUUUUGUACAUAACAUCCUCAGGAGAUGUUGAAGUUGAACUGUAAAAUGUCCCUGGGACUAUCACUUGUUUGGGGGACAUGCACUUAGUGUCACUGUAUACAUAAGGGAACCUAAAAACACGGUCUAUCAUCUUCAACAGAGUAUACUAUAAUCUGUUUAGCUGGACCUUAGAGUGACCGGGCUUAAUGUAUGAAUGGUCAGAGAGAAAGCUAAGGGAUGGAGAAAUUAGGGUAAACGUGAGACAAAUCAAAUAUCAAGAAAAAAAGAAUAGAAUGAAAGGUAAUCAAGUCAAGGUCAGUAACAGGAGAUCAACAAUAUCACAAAUACAUUAUUGGGCUAAAUAAGAACCUCAACAGGGUGAUUGGGACAAGAAAGGCAGGGUUCUAAAUACUCAUGGUUCUGUUAGGAUUGGACCAUGUCAUAGAGGAGCGACAGAAAACAUGAGGCCGGCGGAUUGCCAGUUUUGCGACAACUAUGACUUUGUUUGCAUGCACUGAGAAGGCGCUUGGGAGGCAUGCCAUUCAGAUGUGGUCAUGAGCAUGUAUAAAUAGAUUUGCAUGAGGCUUCUGAUUCUUUGCUGGAGUGGCGAGGGGGAGCCCAUAAUCGCCCAUAGCUGGUAUCUGGAUAGGGCUCUGUGAUUAAUGGAACAGGUCAGAUAUCCUUGUAUCUAUUUAAAAUAGCAAGCUGAAUAUGGAACAAUACAUCUCAGCACUCUCUAAAGCCUUAGUAAAUUCAACCAGGCUAAUGGUUGCCUUUAAAAAGAGACAGGAUAGUCAAGGGCAUGGAAGACCAAGCUGUAUUCUGAUCGGAUGGCCAAGAGGCCUGUUAUGUACAGACCUAAGAAGACUGUUGGUCACUCUAACCACAGUGAUGUACAGGACUCCAUAGAGAGAUUUGAAUAUGACAUUUGUCAGGUGUUUUCCUAGUGGCUCCUGGAAUCCCAUUGAAAUUUUCCUUGUACAGCUAUUGGCUGACCAUCUCAAGCCAAAUGUUACUUAAAUAUCCCUAUGCCUACAUUUUCUGUUUCUAAAGAUUGUUUUAAAUAUAUUGAAUAAUAAAAGUUUGUUUUUCCAGAAAACAUCUGUCCAGAUUCUGUGAUUUUACAAACAAGUGUCUGUCCAGACUCUGUUUGCUAAUGAGAGACUGUUAUAAGGCUAUUAAGAGCUAUAAUCACUAAGAUCUAUAUUGACAAAACAGCUAAUUACUCAUCAUGUUGCAGACCUGGGCUGGGUUAGUUCCAAGUUUGGAGAUUGCGCAUGUGACUGUUUAGGGCCAAGACAAACUCUACUGUGCUCUUUUAUAUCCACUCGGGAUUAUAGAAUCACUGUACAGUGAGGGGAAAACGUAUUUGAUCCCCUGCUGAUUUUGAACGUUUGCCCACUAACAAAGAAAUGCUAAGCCACGGAGCUGAAUGGCCACAUGUUGUCUGAGCUCGGGACAAAAGAGCUACUUUUACCCUAAUUGCAGCACCCAGACCCCGCAUACUGACCGCAAAAUAGACAGGAUGGGGUGAAAAACUAAAAAGUCCAAACCGCAUCGGCGACCUCUGGAGACAGGCCCGGAGUGCAGUUAGUCCAAACAUGGCCGCCUUCCCUGAUGAAAGCUCUGACAUCUCCGAUGACUUCAUAACCGGAACGGAGGUAAAGCCCUGCCCGCACCAAAGGCCCUUCUCUCUACUCCCCCAUGACCCGACUCACCCCCGGUCACCAUAGCGGUUAUAAAGGACCUGCUGGCCGGGGUCCAACACGCUAUUCAGAUGGCUAUGGCCCAAAUACGCACAGACCUGCAGGGCCUGACAGGCCACAUUAGCGCCCCUGAACAUGGAUCCCUACAAACCACCAAGCACACCAAGCAUCUACAGCAACUGGUAACUGAACUGCACAACAGAAUCUUAAAUUUGAACACCAAUUUGCAGUUCUGGAGGACCAGAGGUGCAGCAAAAACAUUAAGAUCCGGGAGAUCGCAGAAGAGAUACCGGAGGCUGAAAUUCCUCACUUUAUACAAAGGCUCCUCACGGCCCUACUUAUACCUCAACAUGCUAAACAGAUAACCCCGGAGGGGAUGUUCUGACUCCCAAGGUCUGCUACAGCCCCAUGCACGCUACCCAAAGAUCUACUGGUAUGGUUUCCCUAUAAUAGGGAUAAAACAGCAAUGCUGAACGCAACAUGAAACCACUCUCCCUACCUAUUUGAGAAUAUGUCGCUCUCAGUCUAUACAGACCUCUCACGGUCCACAAUGGCCUGGCACCGUUCACUUCAGCCCUUCAUGGCACUUCUCCGCGCGCAAAACAUAAAGUACAAGUGGAGGGGCUCACGCGCACUACAACUUUCUCAUGGAGACUCCCGGUACACCAUCCAAGAUAUGCAGGGCACGAGAGACCUACUUCCCACACUGGACCUACGACAGGACGCCAUACCUACGAUGGGACAACGCACCAUACCCGCUUUACCUGGGAUAGGGGACCCAGCAACGACACUACCAUUUGUCCCCUGACGGCUCAAAUCACAGAGAAGCACAGCAGCAACAACCUGAUGGGACUCUGAUGGCUAACGAGGCCACAUCUAAUUCUCCAAGGGUCUCCAGGCCCAAGGACUAGCCCAAAGAGCUUAAGUGGAGGAACUCUAAGCGCACAACAGUUUAAUGUGCACAAGUUACCUGUUCCCUUAUAUUUUGGUUUAUAUGUUGUUAUUCUUAUUUUAGACACAUUAUAUUAGGUCGCAGAGAGUCCAAAACACAACGCACACCUAGUCUUACUGGCCCGAGGGAAGGGUACAACACACAGUCCCACUGCAGCAGACAUACCCGCAACCACAUAGCGUCCCGACAGAGACCGGGCCAUUGAGAGAGCCCCACUUUCUCUUUCUCUCCCCCCUGCUCCAUAGGGUUACAGGGGAUCAUAAUCCACACAACCGACCACAAGCCACCUGACCCUUUCAUACAUGUGUUCCACGCAUACAGGCCACAGGCGGACCACGCACAUAAGGCACACAGAAUGUUAUGUUUCCCAGGGACACUUAGCUUUGGUACACAACAGUGGCAAGAUGAGCACACACGCUAGUGUUUAGCUAACUUAUUCUCUACUUCAUGAUCUAAGUUUGUGAAUGUCUUCAGGUCCAACGUUAACUAAAUAUAAAAUGUGCAGUCUAUAUGAAACCAUGUUACUGUCCUAAGCGGAUUGUUAGUAAUGUGCUUGAUACAGCUAUUGUGGCGUUUCAAGCUUGUUUAUCACCCUUUGCAUGUGAAAAAUAAAGAAUUUAUAAAAAUUAAAAAAAAAUCAAGAAAAAUGCAUGUCAAAAAAGUUAUAAAUUGAUUUGCAUGUCAAUGCUGUAAAUAAGUAUUUGAUCCUCUAUGAAUCAGCAAGAUUUCUGGCUCCCAGGUGUCUUUUAUACAGGUAACGAGCUGAGAUUAGGAGCACUCUCUUAAAGGGAGUGCUCCUAAUCUCAGCUCGUUACCUGUAUAAAAGACACCUGUCCACAAAAACAAUCAAUUAGAUUCCAAACUCUCUGCCAUGGCCAAGACCAAAGAGCUGUCCAAGGAUGUCAGGGACAAGAUUGUAGACCUACACAAGGCUGGAAUGGGCUGCAAGACCAUCGCCAAGCAGCUUGCUGAGAAGGUGACAACAGUUGGUGUGAUUAUUCGCAAAUGGAAGAAACACAAAAUAACUGAGUCUGCAAGAUCUCACCUUGUGGAGUUUCAAUGAUCAUAAGAAUGGUGAGGAAUCAGCCCAGAACUACACAGGGGUAUUUUGUUGAUGAUCUCAAGGCAGACGGGACCAUAGUCACCAAGAAAACAAGGUUCCCCUGCUCAAAAAAGCACAUGUACAGGCCCAUUUGAAGUUUGUCAAUGAACAUCUGAAUGAUUCAGAGGAGAACUGGGUGAAAGUGCUGUGGUCAGAUGAGACCAAAAUUGAGCUCUCAACUCACCGUGUUUGGAGGAGGAGGGAUGCUGCCUAUGACCCUAAGAACACCUUCCUCACCAUCAAACAUGGAGGUGGAAAUAUUAUGCUUUGAGGGUGUUUUUCUGCAAAGGGGACAGGACAACUGCACCACAUCAAAGGGACAAUGGACAGGGCCAUUUACCGUGAAAUAUUGGGUGAGAACCUCCUUCCUUCAGCCAGGGCAUUGAAAAUAGGUAAUGGAUGGGUAUUCAAGCAUGACAAUGACCCAAAACACACAGCCAAGACAAAAAAUGAGUGGCUCAAGAAGAAACACAUUAAGGUCCUGAAAUGGCCUAGCCAGUCUCCAGACAUUAAUGCCAUAGAAAAUCUGUGGAGGGACCUGAAGGUUCGAGUUGCAAAACUUUAGCCUCGAAACCUUAAUGACUUGAAGAGGAUCUGCAAAUAGGAGUGGGACAAAAUUCCUCCUGAGAUGUGUGCAAACCUGGUGGCCAACUACAAGAAACGUCUGACCUCUGUGAUUGCCAACAAGGGUUUUGCCACCAAGUACUAAGUCGAAGCGGUCAGAUACUUAUUUCACUCAUUGACAUGCAAAUCAAUUUAUAACUUUUCUGACAUGCGUUUUUCUGGAUUUUUGUUUUUGUUAUUCUGUCUCUCACUGUUAAAAUAUACCUAACAUUAAAAUUAUAGACUGACCGUUUCUUUGUCAGUGGGAAAAUGUUCAAAAUCAGCAGGGGAUCAAAUAAUUUUUUACCUCGCUGUAGCUAUUAAUUUAUCUCUAUGUUUUAUCUGGUGUCUGUUAAAAGUUAUUCCUCUUUUCAAAUGGCUUGCACAGAUAUACAUGAUGCAAAUCUGUAUGAUCUUAAUGAGGAUUGCAGAAGUACCUGUAAAAUGUGUCAAGGCACAUAGACAACAUGUAUGGCUGAAGUUUUAUUCCUGAGACAGCUCUCAUGGUACAAUUAGACAAUUAAUCCAUAAUUGCAAAUUUUGUCAUAUCAUAAAAAUUCUGCUCUUUCUUACCAUCUACUUUAACAGAGAGAUGUCUGGCUGCUAAAACUUUACUGUGAUGUGACAGGUAAUCUAGACCUAGGACUCAAGUGUCAAGACAUAGAUCAUUCACAACUACAUCAGUCAUCAAAUUACUGUUUUUCACUCACAUAACCCUUGAUAUAUUAUCCAGUACUGCCGAUAUAAAAAUCAUUCGUUGAUGCACUUUCUAUUACAAAUAUUCAUCCGUAUCAACUUCGCCCAUGUAAAUUGGUUAUAUUGCUCUAGGUCACAGUUGCCAUCCCAAAUAUCAAUGAUUAACAAACAUUGAGGAAACUUCUUAUGUAGAAUAUAUCUAAAUCAUAGUUACCGUGAUACCAGUUACCAUCCGAUUAAAUAAUUGGCUUUAUUUCACUAUUAAACAUUAAUAAAUCAGCAAUAAAAUGUGUGAUGACAUUUAAACUUUUAAAAUAAAGAUUUGUAUUUUAUUUAUUUAUUUUCCAAAUUAGGGUUACAGAAGGUAAAGGAGAUUUGGAGAGGUAAAAUAAAAGCAUAGAGAUAAUGCAACAUAACAUGUAUGUAUGAUGCAACAGUCAAUAGACAUAAAAUUGUCAUAAUCCACUGUAAUCAGAAAAUGGUACAUUAUGUAUCCAUAGCCUGAUAUGUAGUAAUAAAGACCAUUUGGUGAUAUUUAUCGACAACCAAAGACUUGCCCACUCUUAGCAUUAAAAAAAAUACCUGUAAAUUAGGAAACAAUUUUAUUAAUGGGUAUUGUCCAUUCCAUAGACAGUUCCAAAAUAGGCUACAAUUUAAAGUUAGAUAUGUUUUGAAAAUGAUUUAAUAUUUCUAGAUACGUUUUUUACAUGAUUUAAUAUUAUGACAAGUCAUUUGGUUUUGUCAUAUUAAAAUAUCAAUACAUACAGUAUCUCACAAAAGUUAGUACACCCCUCACAUUUUUUUGUAAAUAUUGUAUUAUAUCUUUUCAUGUGAACACUGAAGAAAUGACAUGCUGCUGCAAUGUAAAGUAGUAAGCGUACAGCCUGUAUAACAGUGUAAAUUUGCUGUCCCCUCAAAAUAACUCAACACACAGACAUUAAUGUCUAAACCAUUGGCAACAAAAGUGAGCACACCCCUUAGUGGAAAUAUCCAAAUAGGGCCCAAUUAGCCAUUUUCCCUCCCCGGUGUCAUGUGACUCGUUAGUGUUACAAGGUCUCAGGUGUAAAUGGGGAGCAGGUGUGUUAAAUUUGGUGUUAUCACGCUCAUACUCUCUCAUACUGGUCACUGGAAGUUCAACAUGGCACCUCAUGGCAAAGAACUCUCUGAGGAUCUGAAAAAAAAAUAAUGGCCUAGGCUAUAAGAAGAUUGCCAAAACAAUGAAACUGAGCGGCAGCACUGUUGGCAAGAGCAUACAGCGGUUUAACAGGACAGGUUCCACUCAGAACAGGCCUCGGCAUGAUCGACCAAAGAAGUUGAGUGCACAUGCUCAGCGUCAUAUCCAGAGGUUGUCUUUGGGAAAUAGACGUAUGAGUGCUGCCAUCAAAUUGGUCUGCAUGGCUGUCACCCCAAAAGGAAGCCUCUUCUAAAGAUGAUGCACAAGAAAGCCCACAAACCGUUUGCUGAAGACAAGCAGACUAAGGACAUGGAUUACUGCAAAUAGGUCCUGUGGUUGGAUGAGACCAAGAUAAGCUUAUUUGGUUCAGAUGGUGUUAAGCAUGUGGCGGCAACCAGGUGAGGAGUACAAAGACAAGCAUGAUCGUGGGAGUGUCAUGGUCUGGGCCUGCAUGAGUGCUGCCGGCACUGGGAGCUACAGUUCAUUGAGGGAACCAUAAAUGCCAACAUGUACUGUGACAUACUGAAGCAGAGCAUGAUCCACUCCCUUCGGAGACAAGGCCGCAGGGCAAUAUUCCAACAUGAUAAUGACCCCAAACAUACCUCAAAACUACCACUGCCUUGCUAAAGAACCUGAAGGUAAAGGUGAUGAACUGACCAAGCAUGUCUUCAGACCUAAACCAUAUUGAGGAUCUACGAAGCAUUCUCAAACAGAAGGUGGGGGAGAGCAAGGUCUCUAACAUCCACCAGCUCCGUAAAGUCCGCAUGGAGGAGUGGAAGAGGACUCCAGUGGCAACCUGUGAAGCUCUGGUGAACUCCAUGUCCAUGAGGGCUAAGACAAUGCAGGAAAAUAAUGGUGGCCACACAAAAUCUUGACACUUUGGACCCAAUUUGGACAUUUCCACUUAGGGGUAUGUUGGCUGUGUGUUGAGUUAUUUUGAGGGGACAGCAUAUUUAAACUGUUAUACAGGAUGUACGCUUACUACUUUACAUUGUAGCAGAGUGUCAUUUCUUCAGUGUUGUCACAUUAAAAGAUAUAAAAAAUUUGCAAAAAUGUGAGGUGUGUACUUACUUUUGUGAGAUACUGUACAUAUGAUAUAUGUAUUGAUAUUUUAAUAUGUUGAAAAAUAAUUUAAAAAGUUUAUCCAAAAAUAUUAAAUCAUUUGGAAAUCUUAUCCAACAAUAUUAAAUUGAGGCCAUAAUUGGCAGAUUUGCUGGUCCAUACUAGGCAGGUCUGCAAUAUUUACAGGCUAACUACCCAUAUAAAACUAAAAAAAAUAUAGUAGGUACUUAGUUUUGGUGAAAAAAGGUAGAAUAGGCUCUCCAAAUGCAUCAUACUCAGUGAUAUAUUUAUCUUUUCUCUUUGCCAAACCACAGUAGUUUCAUUCCAGCAGAUAAACAUGUCCAUUACGCAUAUUUGUGCAACUUGUGUGAAAUGACACUCUAAGUUGGUCAAAUCUAAACUGCAUUACUGGUCAUAUUAAAUUUUGAAAAGUAUUGAAGAUCCCACAUCAUUUUUGCUUUUCUAAAUAUCUGAUGAAUUUAGCACCUUUGAUGUGAAGAUUUUCAGCUGGAGCAGAGGAUGGAUCCUAAACAUGCAAUGCAUUUUGAGUAAAAGUGACUUUUGAAACAAUACAUCUUAACUAUGAUAACUCGUGUUUUACAACUAGCUAUAAAGUUGUGCCUGGGUUGUAAACUAUAUCAUUUUGUUUUAUGUUGACAAAUUCCCUUUGCAGGUUUGGUCAUUUAUAACUCAAAAUAUAUAAAAUGAUCAUAUCUCUAGUCAAUUUGACACUUAGCCUUCAAGAUAGAAUGCAUAAAAUAAUGUAUUCCAAUACACACAGCUUUUGUCUUCCUAACCCUAACUGCAUAAAAUGAUACCUUCUCAUAUUCUGGACAACACAGACAAGGAAGCCAGUGUCAAGGUGGCCAUGCCGUCAUAAAAAAAAAGUCCAGGUAUAUAUUCAACUAAAAUCCAUGAAUUGCUGGAUCUUGUUUAAGCCUUUAAGGACCAAACUUCUGGAAUAAAAGGGAAUCAUGGCAUGUCAUACAUGUCAUGUGUCCUUAAAGGGUUAAACAUAUAUGCAAGCAGUUCUAAUGCUAGAAUAUGCAAUAAUGGUGAUCAUAGUCAUCCUUGUGUGGUAUUGUUUACUAUUGGUAUUUCAGAGGAAAUCCACUGUUUGAUAGGUAGGCAACUGGAUCAUGAUAGGAAAGUAAUUUAUCAACGAUUGCCUUCAGGAAGCCUCAAUGGAGACUUUUCAGCAUCUAAUAUUAAAAUCACCCUGAGUAUUUAGGGUGAGUAUUACUGAGUAAUACUGAGUGUUUGAUAGUUGAUUGCCAAGGAUUAUGCAAUGUAUGGAUAUUAUAUGAACCCUGUCUGCACUUCACAACACCCAUCUGGUCAUUGUGGAUGAGGUACAUCAUUUUAGCACACAGCCUACACACCUGCAGAGUUACACUAGACACCAGAUUUAGAUUUAAAGGGACACUGUAGGCACUAUAACUAUUUAAAGGACCACUCUAGGCACCUAGACCACUUCAGCUUAAUGAAGUGGUCUGGGUGCCAGGUCCUUCUAGGGUUAACCCAUUUUUUUUAUAAACAUAGCAGUUUCAGAGAAACUGCUAUGUUUAUGAAUGGGUUAAGCCUUCCCCUAAUCCUCUAGUGGCUGUCUCAUUGACAGCCACUAGAGGCGCUUGCGUGCUUCUCACUGUGAUUUUCACAGUGAGAGCACGCAAGCGUCCAUAGGAAAGCAUUGUAAAUGCUUUCCUAUGCGACGGGCUGAAUGCGCGCGCAGCUCUUGCCGCGCGUGCGCAUUCAGCCCAGGAGGAGGAGAGGAGGCAGAGAGCUCCCCGCCCAGCGCUGGAAAAAGGUAAGUUUUAACCCCUUUCCCCUUUCCAGAGCCGGGCGGGAGGGGGUCCCUGAGGGUGGAGCAUGUUUUCCUGGCACUAUAGUGGUCCUUUAAUCUUAUGAAAUUGAUUAUAGUGCCUGAAGUCCUCUGGCACUGUCCUUCCAUUCAGUGUUAAAUUGUUUCUGAUCAGUUUAAUGCUAAAUAAGGGUCACUCACAGCUCAGUCCCUACUAUAAGUAUAGCAAAAGCAGAGAUGAUAUACUUAUUUCUAGCCAUACAGUAAGGUUGUGUAUAAAGACCUAUGUGAUUUAGCAAACUCCAAACAAUUUCUAAUGGGGUUUUCCAAUUUUUGGCCCAUUGUUAAAGCAAUACAAACUAAUUUAGAGUCUAUUUGCAUAGGCUGUGCUUUGGUGCAGAGUAGCCUGCUGCAAUGAUUCCCUGUGUAUAAUACAAUAAAUAUAAUGACAUAACAACAAAAUGCUGCACUAAAACAGUCUUGUCACUUAAUACCCUAUGCCAAAACUGCAAAUUCAAUUUCUUUUGCAUCACAAGCUUUGCACAAGCCAACAGAAAUUAAUACAAUCAGUUUUGGUCUUUAAAGAAUAGAUUGGAGACAUAGACUAUCAUUGAUCCUUGUGAGUAAAUUCUUCACCUGGUAUCUAGUCCAGUAUAGAUUUUGAUCUUGUAACUUUUUAACAAGCAGCUUCCAUUUUGCAGGCUAUGUCUUGUGUUCAACCGAUAUGAGGUCCAUUUAAUGAAGGUUAUUUUUAUUUUUUUUGCUGGCAUUUAUAUAGCACUUUCAUAUAGAGAGGGAAAUGUAACAACUAAUGAGACAAGUUGUUACGAUUUAUGACAGGAAGGUUGAUGAGGACCGUGCUGAACGAGCUUACACUUGAGAGGGAAGCGUGGGGUACAGCAACCAGUUUGGGAUGGGACAGUGGCAGAGUUGAAAGAUGACAGUGAAUGGGAGUGUGGACUCAUAAGAGAGUAGUAGAUAGGUUUGAGAAGUGGCAGUUAGCCAAGGAGGCCAUGGGUAUUCUUCUUAAAGGAUUGAAAAAUAGAAGAGCGUCUGAUGGGAAAAGGCAGACUGUUUCAUAGGAAUGGAGCUGCCUGACAAAAGCAGGAGUUAGCAGUAUUGAGAGAGGGUAUACCUAUGAAUUAAUGAAAAAAUGUAGAGUGGUUAGAGUUGUGGAGAGCUUUGUGGUAAGAGUUAAUCUUUUGAAUUAGGGCACAUGAAGCAAUGUAAUGAUUAGACUUGGUGAUUAGUUUCUGUCUGAACUGCAAUUUGUCCAAAAAUGAAUCGUCUGCGUAGUGCGAUAGGAGAGUCAAUUCAGUUGGUUUGGGGUUCGGAAGCCAUUUGAUGUGCCUAUUACUAGUAGCCUCUGCCACUGAACAACAACUUUGAACCACUAACUUACACUUUGAGUGCUGUUGAGUAUUUUUUUCUCCUUUAUUUUCACGCUUCCUGACAUUUUGAGGUCGAAACAUUUUUCAUCCCUAAGUGAAUUGUUUCCAGCACAAAAUAUUCUGAUCCAAAAACUUCUAAAAUUUUUGUCAUGCACAAGUGUAGUAACGAUUGACAAAGAUGAGAUGAGAAAGGAGUGCUUGGCGAUAAAAAUAAGCAUUUAUUAUAGAGUGUAGAGAGGCAGCCAUGGUUUCUGGAAAGACCAAUGAGGAUAGAAAUACAGAAAUCAAUGUGAAAAAAUAAGAGCGUAAACAACAUAAUAUUUAAAAAUAGAAGGUAAGCCUCAAGAUUAACUUGUCCGAGCACUCUGAUUGGCUGGCUUACACUCUCAAUCAAAUUGCAUGGUGUAGGAAAGCUUUAUAAGGCUAUCCCUGUCUUGCAAGCUCAGUCUGCAUGGAGCCCUCAUAAGAUGAAGAUGGACUAAUUUUUUUGUCUGGAUUUUUUUCAUCAGUGCGUUUUUUUGUUUUUUUUGCAAUAAGGUCCUUUUUUAAUUUAAUAAUUCAACAUGACUUUAUGGAAUUCUAUUUGCCCUUUUUGGGGCUUGAAAUAGAAAAUGAAAGAAAAAAGAAGACAUCUAAUCGUAUUACUUUUUUUUAUUUUACAGGUAUUUCGUUUAUUGCCCCCUCACUAUUAUUAGGGUGAGAGGUCCACCCACAUUAUUAUUUAGGGCCCCCACCCUCUCUCAAUGCUUGGUGGGGCAAUAGGUCCCUCCAUUUAUUAUUUAGGGCCCCCCACUUGUCACCAAUGAGGAGGGCUGGGAGUAUACAAUAGUUCCACACCCCAUUAUCAUUUAGACCACCCAUCAUAUACCAAUGGGUGAGGGCACUGUGUUCCCCUGUUAUUAUUUUUAUAGUGUCCACCUGUGGCCAUUGGUGGGGGCAGGAGGGGGACAAUAGGCCCCACAUUUAGUUUAAUAGCCCCACUCGCAAGGAAUGGGUGGGGGUAAAGGAGGAAGCUUUGGCUCCACAGUUAAUUAUUUAAAUAGUUGCUCCACCAUUGGGGCAUGGGGAAACUUUACCAGCUUACCCUUUAUUGGAUUAGCAAUAGCUGCCCAGUUGCUAGUCUUUUCUUAUGACGGCGAGACGUCACUCGGUGGUUUUGUAGACAUGCCCCUAGUAUUAGUAAAGUUGUCCCAAAGACCAAAAGAAAAAGAAAAAUGAAGGGCUUUUCAUAAUUUUGGUCCUUCAGUGUUUUAGAAGAUUGCUCCCUAAUCUUUAUGUGAGAUUGCCAUAAGAGUACCAAAGAGAAGCUACAGUUGUGCUCAAAAAAUUGCAUACCCUUGGAGAAUUGGUAAUAUCUGUACUAUUUUUUAAGAGAACAUAAGUGAGCAGAACACGUUUCUUUUAUUUCUUAUGGGAUUCAUAUUCAACUGUAGUUCAUAACAGAAUGGCACAAUCAUAAAACAAAACAUGAUAACAUAGAAAAAAAUGAAAUGGCCCCUGUUCAAAAGUCUGCAUACCCUUAGUUCUUAAUAUUGUGUAUUGCCUCUUUAACAUCAAUGACCGUGUGUAGUCUUUUGUCAUAGCUGUCUAUGAGGCCCCUAAUUCUUGCAGGUGGUAUAACUGCCCAUUUGUCUUGGCUAAAUGCCUCCAGGUCAUGCAAACUCUUUGGUCGUCUUGCAUGACCCGCACAUUUGAGAUCUCCCCAGAGUAGCUAGAUGUUAUUAAGGUCAGGAGACUGUGAUGGCCACUCAAUAACCUUCAUCUUUCUCUGCUGUAACCACUGGAGGGUCAACUUGACCUUGUGCUUAGGAUCAUUGUCAUGCUGGAAAGUCUAAGAGCAUCCCAAGAUAACAUACUGCAUUCAUUUUGCCAUCAAUUUUCACAAGAUUCCCCGUGCCUUUAGAGCUCACACAACCCCAAAAAUUCAGUGAGCCACCACCAUGCUUCACAGUGGGGAUGGUAUUUUUUUUAACUGUAGGCCUUGUUGACCCCUCUAUAAACAUAGCGCUUAUGUUUGUGACCAAAAGCUCAAUUUUGGUCUCUCCAAAUUACAGUGUGCCAGAAGCUGUGAGGUGUGUCAAGGUGUUGUCGGGCAUAUUGUUACCGACUUUUUUGUGCAUUGGUGCAGUAAAGGCUUCUUUCUGGCAACUCGACCAUGCAGCUAAUUUUUGUAUAAGUAUCGGCAUAUUGUAUCCUCAUUCUUUAUAAUCUGGAAAAUAAUUUCUGGCAGUUGUGGCUGAAGUAUUUCUUGAUCUACCUGACUUUGGCUUGGUAUCAAGAGAUCCCUUAAUUUUCCACGUUUUAAUAAGUGAUUGGACAGUACUGACUGGCAUUUUUAAAGCUUUGGAUAUCUUUUUAUAUCCUUUCCCAUUUUUAAAAGUUCUAUUACCUUGUUACGCAGGUCUUUUGACAGUUCUUUUAUGCUCCCCAUGGCUCAGUAUCCAGCCUGCUCAGUGUAUCCACGUGAGAGCUUACAAACUCAUUGACUAUUUAUACACAGACACUACUUGCAAUUAACCUUGGUGUGGGAAAUUAACCUUUAAGUGCCAUUUUAACAUGUGUGUGUCACCUUGUGGGUUUGUAACAGGGCCAAACAAUCAAGGGUAUGUAAACUUUUGAUCAGGUCCAUUUGGAUGAUCUCUGUUAUCAUUAUGAUUUCAAAAGGAGACAAACAACUAUGUCAUAAUAAAUGGCUUCAUAUGAUCAAUAUCUUUUAAUAAAAUAUAUAUUUUUUUUUUGCAUGAUCAGUCAUGUUUUUAAAAUGAAUGCCAAAAUGACACAAUUUCUCUCAGGGUAUACAAAUAUUUGAGCACAACUGUAUCUACUAAACAGCUCCUUAAUUUGGCACCAUUAAAUAUGGCAAUCCCACAAGGGUACCAAUUUAGGAAGUUAUUUAAAAAAUGUUUGCAGAUUGCAGGAUGCAGGUGCGGAAAAGAUCGGAAUUUAAUUAACAGAACAAAAAUAAUGGCAGAAUUUCGUCCAAAAAUGAACGAACAAACAGAUGAAAUCCAGUUCAGACAUAAACAAAAUUAUUUUUCGUACGAAUGUAUUUGAGUCCAGCUUCUUGAUAGAUAAAAACAUUAUUAAGGAGAGUAAGACAGGCUAUAUUAUGCACUAUACAGGAGGGCAGUCAUGCCCUGUGCCUAGUGUGAUGAAAAUCAUACAAACAGAAAACAAUUCCACUCCAUCAACUGCUAAAUGUACUGUGGUGUGUGGUUGAUGACAUCCUAGGGUAUGUUUCCAGUGUCUCAUUAUGAGUGUAAGAUAUUUAUUUUACAGCGUAUUGAAUUCUAAUGACGUUAAAGAAGCUCUUGUCUAUGUUCUCUAAUAGGAAUUAUCAUAGGAAUUAUCACAUUAUAAGCUUAUAAUCAUAACUUUAACAGCUAUAUCAGAGCAGAAAUACUUAUGAUUUUUUAUAUUAGUUAUCGUUGACCUGACUUACCACAAUAAAAUCAGAAUAUUCCGUCAUCAAUUCCGAUAUGAGUCAUAUUCAUCAAAUAGCUCCCUAUGAGAUUUAGACAUAUUUUAUUAUCAUGUAUAAUAAAUACAGUCCAGUAGUAAUCAUAUAUAUCAGAGUAUUAAAGUCAUGCUGUCAUAUGUUGUAUAGAUGUGUUUGCAAUUACGAAACAUUGUCACUUAAAAUUAUAAGGCAAUUCUCAUAAUAAUGUAGCACAAGCAUUGAUUGACAAUGCUAUCGGUUCAUGUAAAUACAGGUACAUUAAUAUGCCACCUUACCACUUGUGUUCUUGCACACAUUAUCAAUGUAAAAGUAGUUGUGAUGGAGCUCCUGUACUUCGAGUGAGUACCUCCGACAGGUCAGCUUCCUCCCUGAUUUUCCCUAAUCUGUAUUUUAUAUAUAUUUUGGUCUUUACAGCAGCUUCACUGCUAAGAAAUUCAUGUUCCAGGUGUGUCCCAAUCUCCUUUUUUGUAUGUAUAUUUUGAAUUCAGACCAGAUUUCUAUUUGAAUGAGCACCACACCCAUCCACUACAAAGCUGUAAUCAAAAUUAUUUAAUCCACAUUGAAAAUCAGGUUUAUUGUCAAAAUUUACAGACUUUCAGCUGUUUGCAAGGAAAGUAAAACAAGGAUUAGUUAGAUUAAAAACAAAAGAAGGAAGGUAUGUAGAAGAAGAUAAAGGUCUAGCUGAUUGCCUCAGUAAAUAUUUUUGUUGAAUAUUUACAGCUGAAAAUGAAGCAGAGGGACUUCAGUUAAGAAAAAGGACAAAUGGGUAAUUUGUUAGAUGUGAGUUUACAGAGGAAGAGGUUCUAUUUCAACUGUCAAAAGUAAAGACAAAUUAGUCGAUGAGGCCUGAUGGAAUACACCCAAAGUUAUUAAAAUAAUUUAGUGGUGUACUAGCAAAACCAUUUACGGAUUUAUUUAACCAAUCAUUUUUAACAGGAGUAGUCCCAGAAGACUGGAAAUUAGUGAAUGUUGUACCCAUUCACAAGAAAGGUAGUAGGGAGGAGUCGGACAACUUUAGGCCAAUAAACCUUACUUCAGUAGUGGGGAAAGUGAUGGAAAUCAUGUUUAAGGAUAGGAUUGUUGAACAUCUAAAAUCACUUCAGCUUUCAUGAUCAGACACAACAUGGGUUUACUUCAGGGAGAUCAUGCCAAACUAAUCUUAUAGAUUUUUUUGAUUGGAUAACUAAAAUAAUAGAUCAGUGGUGCAGUAGACAUUGCUUACCUAGAUUUUAGUAAGGCUUUUGACACUGUUCUCAUAGAAGGCUCAUUAAUAAACUGCAAUCUUUAAGUUUGGAUUCCAAUAUUGUUGAAUGGGUUAGGCAGUGGCUGAAUGACAGGCAACAAAGGGUUGUAGUAAAUGGACUAUAUUCAAAGCAAGGUCUAGUUACCAGUGGGGUGCCUCAGGUAUCUGUACUUGGACCCAUUCUCUUUAAUAGUUUUAUUAGUGAUAUUGCAGAAGGUCUUGAUGGUAAGGUAUGUAUUUUUGCUGAUGAUACUCAAAUUUGCAACAGGGUUGAUGUCCAGGAGGGAUAAGCUAAGUGGCACAUUAUUCGGGUAAAUUAGAAAAAUGACCAGAGCUGUGGCAACUGACAUUUAAUGUGGAUAAGUGCAAGAUAAUGCAUCGUGGGUGUAAAAAGCCAAGGGUAGAGUACAGAAUAUUUGAUACCCUACUAACCUCAAUAUCUGAGGAAAGGGUUUUAGGAGUAAUUAUUUCAGAUGACUGAAAGGUGGCAGAAAAUAUAAUAGAGCAGCAGGAAAUGCUAGCAGAAUGCUUGGUUGUAUAGGGAUAGGCAUCAGCAGUAGAGAGAGAGAAGUGCUCAUGCCAUUGUACAGAACACUGGUGAGACCUCACUUAGAGUAUUGUAUGCAGUACUGGAGACCAUAUCUUUAGAAGGAUAUUGAUACUUUGGAAAGAGUUCAGAGAAGGGCUACUAAACUGGUUCAUGGAUUGCAAGAUAACGCUUACAAGGAUAACAUGUAUAGCUUGGAGGAAAGAUGAGACAGAGGGGAUAUGAUAGAAACAUUUAAAUACAUAAAGGGAAUCAACACAGUAAAGGAGGAGACUAUAUUUAAAAUAAGAAAAACUACCACAACAAGAGGACAUUAAAUUAGAGGGGCAAAGGUCUAAAAAUAAUUUCAGGAAGUAUUACUUUACUGAGAGGGUAGUGAACACAUUUAAUAGCCUUCCAGCUGAAUUGGUAGAGGUUAACACAGUGAGUGAGUUUAAGCAUGCGUGGGAUAGUCACGAGGCUAUAAUAGACUUAAAAUAAGGGCAGGGACUAAUUAAGAGCAUUUCAAAAAUUGGGGAGAAUAGAUGGGCGGAAUGGUUCUUAUCUGCCAUCACAUUCUAUGUUUCUAUGUUUCUAGGUAAAGCAAUUGUAAUAGGUCAACACAAUGAAUGCUUCAAGCUGUUUCCCCAAAGUCAAUUGCAACUUCUCCUGAUCAGAAUACCUCACAACAGCACAAAUAUGCAAAUAGGUCUUGUCUCAAGCACACCAGACGCAACUAAUCAAGGGCUUCAUUAGUUGUGCUUAAGCUUUCAUUUCUAUACUGGAGAAUACUGGAGAAUAUCAUGCUGCAAUUGAUGAUAAAUACACCCACUCCUGAUACCAAAGCAACCCACUGACCUGGGACACCCACCCUCAAAAGACCCAAAGCACCCACAUAUCCACAUGCAGGGAUCAUGCCGCCCAGGCAUAUACUUCUUGAGCUAAUCAUAGGCUCCAGAAAAUAGUUCGUGUUUUUACUAUAUUCACUAGUCUACGAACCUGUUAGCACCCUGAAGGUGCUUCUUCCCUACACCCCUUUCCAGUAUUACCUAUUCUACGGCCAGAAAGAAGAGACUCUGGUUUGGGAAGUAUCAGCUGCCAAAUUUAUACAAAACAAGCACCAGAAAUCCUCCUAUCAUUUAUGCACAGUGUGCUGUGCCAGAAGUCCCUUUCUCCCACACAUUAUAUAUCCUUGAAAAGCUCAUAGCUCAUCAUCAAGCACCCUCACUGUCUAAAUAGUGCCAUGAUUGCAGAAUCCACACCCGAGCUAUAGCCUGCUUAAGAUUGUGCAGCCUGUUACCAGGUUGCAGCAAUUUAACGAUCUGGCGAGGAGUUCCAGGUGUGCGGCGGCUUAGAGAUUAGGGAUCUAACAUAAGGGAUUUCCAGACCUUUAGGGAAGGCAUCAAUCUCAAGCCCCAGGUAUCCUCCAAUGCCUCUUUGCCUCCCCAAUCUCCUCUCUAAAUAGUGCAUCCUACACACUCAUGGGCUUCAGAUGGGGAUAUUGGGAUUUGUGGGGGUUACCAAAAUUGAUAUUUAGAAUAGCUAAGAGAAUUGAACAUUAGAGUUGGCAAAACUUACAUAGACAAAUGCAAGAAUUGUCAAAGAAUAGACCGAAGUCAAGAAUUACAGCAGGACAACGGGACAGUGAGACGGCCAAAGUCGUGUUUGGAAACAUCAAAAUAGUCGUUAAGCAAGCCUAGAAUAAAAUUUGAGAAAAAAACUAACAGAAUCAAAACGUACUCUCUGACUACUAGAGACCAUGACAAGGCAAAUGUCUAAUAAUGGACUGACAAUAUACAGGCAUUAGAUCAGAAGUCGUCUUUCUUCCUAAGUAUUCUGUUCUACAGCCCCACAAAAGUCAACUAAAAAUCCAUUACAUCCUAAUGCUAUUAUUAAAAAUACAAGAAUGCCACAAAUAACAAAAGAAAAUAAAGAAAUUGCAUAAUAAGUAAUCCAUCUUCACUCAGGCCUUCCCACAACUGCAACCAACCAAUCAGAAUGCUCUGACAGGCAAGUUUUGUCUCUCAUGCUGGAUGAAGAUGGAUUACUUUUGUGGAUCAGUUUUAAUUUUUUCCUCAGUUUUUUUUUUUUUGAUUCAGGACUUUUUAAAACUUUUACUGGUAGUGUUGAGAUGUAAAGGAUUUUUAUGUUGGGGUUGAAGAAAAGUAUAAUUUUUUUUUACGCUAAAAAACAAACACUUGUAAAAACACCCAGUGCAAAGAAAAAAUAAUGACAGUAUUUUUCGCUCUAUAAAUUUUUUCACCUCAAAAGUAAGUGGAAAUGUAUGUGCGUCUUAUAGAGCAAAUGUGUAAGUUGACUUACCUGUAUUGUAGCGUGGGCCGGCAGAACAGUGCGCACCGCGGUACAGGAACUUAAAUUUCAGUUUCCUGUUUCCGGACGGAAUGAAAGGAAGUGCGCACUCAGUACAGCAAACUGAAAUCUGUUCCGGUCGGUCACACUACAAUACAGGUACAAGUAAACCUACCGGGGACCAAGGGGGGAAGAGAGGGGCAAUAAGGGACACUAUGGGAGGGGAGGGGGGAGGAGAUCACUAUGGGACAAGGAGAGGGGGGAACACUAUGGGAUGAGGGGAGGGGGGAGAACACUAUUGGACAAGGGGAGGGGGGGUUAAAGAUCCCUAUGGGACAGGGGAGUGAGGUUAAAGAUCACUAUAGGACAGGAGAGCGGGGUUAAAGAUCACUAUGGGACAGGAGAGGGGAGUGGGUGGUAAGAAACACUAUGAGAGUUUGUUCAGAAUAUUUUUUUUCUGGGUUUCCACCUCUAAAAACUAGGUGCGUCUUAUGGUGUGGUGCGUCUUAUGGAGCGAAAAAUACGGUAACACAUUUCCUGAAAUGUAUAAAUAUCCUAGGACUUCUUUAAAUCCUCCAAAUAUCAAACAACAGGGGAGAUAAAUGUGAAAAACUUAAAAGAGCAUAUAAUGAUAUUUUACAUAUUUAUCUCCCCUGUUGUGUGUAUGUUUUUUACAGGUAUUAGAUGUAUUGCCCCCCCCCCUGAGGGGAGUAGGUGGGGCUUUUUUAUUAGGAAUUAGCUAGGUGCUCUGGCACCUCUAGCCAGAGCACCUAUAGGGGGAUUACCCCUUACCCCUUACUUGGCACUAUCAAUAGCAUGUCCAUUCCCAUAGGCGUGAGCAGCCUAUUGUAUAAGGGUGUGCACCCUAAAGCAGAAACACACACACCGCGUAUAUAUAUAUAUAUAUAUAUAUAUAUAUAUAUAUAUAUAUACAUAUAUAUAUAUAUAUAUACACAUACAUACACACACACUGCUGUGUGUGUGAGGGUGCUGUGUGUGAAGGCGCUGUGUGUGUGAAGGCGCUGUGUGUGAAGGUGCUGUGUGUGUGUGCGGGCACUGUGUGUGUGAAGGUGCUGUGUGUGUGUGAAGGUGCUGUGUGUGUAAGGGAGCUGUGUGUGUGAGGGUGCUGUUAGUGUGUGUAUGUGUAAGGGUGCUGUGUGUGUAACUGUGCUAUUAGUGUGUGUGAGGGUGCUGUGUGUAAGGGUGCUGCUAGUGUGUGCUGUGUGUGUGUGUAUGUGUGAGGGUGCUGUGUGUGUAAGGGUGUUGUUAGUGUGAGGGUGCUGUUAGUGUGUGUGUAAGGGUGUUGUUAGUGUGUGCUGUGUGUGUGUGUAAGGGUGCUGUGUGUGUGAGGGUGCUGUGUGUGUGUAUGUGUGAGGGUGCUGUGUGUGUAAGGGUGUUGUUAGUAUGAGGGUACUGUUAGUGUGUGUGUGUGUGUAAGGGUGUUGUUAGUGUGUGCUGUGUGUGUGUGGGUGCUGUGUGUAAGGGUGCUGUGUGCUGUGUGUGUGAGGGUGCUGUGUGUGUAAGGGUGCUGUUAGUGUGUGCUGUGUGUGUAAGGGUGCUGUGUGUGUGAGGGUGCUGUUAGUGUGUGUAUGUGUAAGGGUGCUGUGUGUGUAAGGGUGCUGUUAGUGUGUGCUGUGUGAGAGGGUGCUGUGUGUAAGGGUGCUGUUUGUGUGUGCUGUGUGUGUAUGUGUGAGGGUGCUGUGUGUGAAAGGGUGUUGUUAGUGUGAGGGUGCUGUUAGUGUGUGUGUAAGGGUGUUGUUAGUGUGUGCUGUGUGUGUGUAAGGGUGCUGUGUGUGUGUGAGGGUGCUGUGUGUAAGGGUGCUGUUAGUAUGAGGGUGCUGUUAGUGUGUGUGUGUGUAAGGGUGUUGUUAGUGUGUGCUGUGUGUGUGAGGGUGCUGUGUGUAAGGGUGCUGUUAGUGUGUGCUGUGUGUGUGUGUAUGUGUGAGGAUGCUGUGUGUGUAAGGGUGUUGUUAGUGUGAGGGUGCGGUUAGUGUGUGUGCUGUGUGUGUAAGGGUGAUGUAUAUGUGUGUGCUGUAUGUUUGUGUGUAAUGUGUGGGGCGUGGGGGCCAUUUAGUUAAUAUCCCCCUCCCUUCUUACCAAAUGUAGGGAAGGGGGACCGUGCUCCAGCCUUCCCUGGUGGUCCAGUGGAGAGUGAACUCUAGCCUGUGGGGCUAGAGUUCACUCUCGCGAGAUCUGCGGCAACGCUCCGACCGCGCGAGAGGAACCCGGCGGAGCUGCUGACAACAGCUCCUUGGGCACCCCCCGUGCGCACGCCUAUGCUGUCCCCUAUUAUGAGAUUUAACCAUGGGUGGAAGGGGUGCACAAUAGCAUGUCCUGUUGUCCACAAGUGGUGGUAUCGGAGGAACCUGUGGUAGGUCUCCCCAAAGUAUUUUACAGGCUCCAUGGUCAUUUCUAGCAACUGGGCAGCAAUAGCUUCCCAUUUGCAAGAUUUUAUUACAGUGAGCAACCACUGGCUCUUCACUGUUUUGCAAACAUUACUUCGCUUGCUGCAUGGCGAAUGGGGGCAUUUUUAUUUUAUUUUUUUAUAUAUUUUAAUGUGCUGGCUGGCUCAGAAACACUGGCCAGCCAUAAUAUGGUUAACCCUUGCUUUGUUGAUAUAUUGUUAACUAUUUGUCUGCUGGCUGAAAAAAAGCAAAACUUAUGAUAAUAUGUGUUUGGCCCCGAUUUUAUUUAAAAACAUGCUUUGUAUAUAAUCCAGAUCCUAUGCGUUGUAUAGAGUUUGGAUGUGAAAAGCACUGAUUUUAAACCAGAAACUAAAAACAUCCGGCUGACUGGUGUGAUUUCGGUCAGGUUAUGCAAAUUCAUACCAGAAUUUGCUUUAGUAAAUAUGGUUGGAAUUUGGCAAUUUUAACAGAAUUUAUCCGUGAAAAAUCUUCCUCUGUUCUACUCAGUGAGUCCCUAGUGUUGCUGCAUCUGAUUGUCAGUCAAUGAGAGCAAGUGUCCCAUUCUGAUUUAAAUAUAGCUUAAGCCAUUCAGUAUAUCUCUGGCUGACUCUGUGUUCCCUGUGAUGCCGGUUGUCAUUAUGUGCUUGUUGGUACAUUUGUCAGUGGUUUCUGUCUGUAUCCCUCAGGGGCUCCAGUUCUAAAUGAAUGUAAUACCAAGAGUGAAUGGCAUGAGGUGGGGUAAUAACCCCUGCAGAAUCAGAAGAGAAAUUCUGUGCUAGUGCAGUUUGCAGCACAGCUGAUGGUCUGAUUUCCUAAACGAGAGCUGACAAGGCUAUCAGUUUGCUUUCAUCACAACAGAUCAAGCUGCUGACGUGGGUUGAGGCAAUACAGCUACAGAAAUUAAAGGGAAACUCCAGUGCCAGGAAAACAAUCUGUUUUCCUGGCACUGCAGGUUCCCCUCCCUCCCACCCCCCUAUCCCCGGUUGCUGAAGGGGUAAAAACCCCUUCUCCCUCGGCCGGUGGGCGAGGCUGAUCCCGCCCACCAACCGGGGAGACCUAAUGCGCAUGAGCAGCAAUGCUGCGCAUGCGCAUUAGCGCUCCCCAUAGGAAAGCAUUGAAAAUGCAUUUCAAUGCUUUCCUAUGGGGAAAUGAGCGACGCUGGAGGUGCUAGGAACCAGGAAGUGCCCUCUAGUGGCUAGACAGCCACUAGAGGUGGAGUUAACCCCGCAAGGUAAUUAUUGCAGUUUAUAAAAAACUGCAAUAGUUACACUUGCAGGGUUAAGAGUAGUGCGAGUUAGCACCCAGACCACUCCAAUGGGCAGAAGUGGUCUGGUUGCCUGGAGUGUCCCUUUAAGGGCAGGUUCUUUAGGUAUGGGGUCCUAUGGUGGGGACUGCAGCAUUGAUUUGUAAGAGCUUGGGAGGAAUGAACAGCUGUCCGGGGAAAAAUAUGGGCAUACACCUCUAAAUAGUGGGAAGGUUUUAUCUUUGUAAAGCUAAAAUGACAAGUUAACUUCUAAUGCAUCGAACUGGAAAAAACUUCUAUUCCAUGCACUAAAGUCUAUUUAAUAGUAUUGUGUAUGUUGUUUUAAAAAAUAUCUCAUAUGUAAGGAAACGCUAAGGGAUUAUUCCUGAGAUUGCACAUUGUAGUGAUUUUUUAAAAUUCUUUACUUAUAAAGGUUUUUAGUUGAUACAGGAAAACAAGCCACAGUUUACAAAAAUUAGCAAGUAGAAAGUACCAGUUGGUCAUAAAUACAGUGCAAGAAGGAAGCUAAAUAUUUAGCACAUUUGAGAAUUACCAACUUUUGUAGUAUCGACCGUGGGUAGAGUGAGUGUGUGGGUACUGGACUGAAUAGAUAGUGCAUAUAUUUCGUAAUUUAACAAAUUGUCCAGUUAUUUGGGUGUCUGUUGAAUGCCAUUUUGCAAAACUAUGAGUUAUCUCCCAAAUAAGUGAAUCCAGUUGAGCAGUGCAUAACGAAUUAGGAGCCAUCUUCAGUUUGGUAUCUGCUUGCCAACUGAGAUUGUGGUUGGUGAUAAUCUCUGUGAGAGGGAGUGUGUGAGUGUUGGCUCAAGGAAAUGAAAGAGGAGGAAAGAAGAAAGGAACGAGAAAAAAACAACGUGUAGAGCGUGUGGAAUGUCUGUAACCAUCAACGCUGUGACCAGGGGAAUUGCUAUGGUUAAGAGUAUUAGUCCCCUUUUUGGAAGGAGACAGGUUAGGAGUAAUGAUUAGGGAGUGUAUGUCAGGGUGGUCACAAAAAUCUUUAGUCAGUGGUUGGUGGAUGUAACAAUGGCUGUUGAAAGAGAGCAUUAGGAAUAAUAACUAAGGCAGGCCAGCUCUCCCCAGCGCCCAGCCCCCCAACCAGGAAAGGGUGCAAGGAAGUGGGAAGGAUACGGCUGUGAAGAAGAGAUAAAAAAGGGGGGGAUAGGAGGGGAGGGACAUAAAGAAGGAAUAAGUGUUUACUGUGAGUAGUUUGCCAUCCAAGAAAAACGUUCGGUGGGUUUGUAGUUGAAGCUAUCGGAUGAGGAAUCAUAUGUGUGAGAUGCAGUGAAAUAUUGAACUGAAUUGACAACAAAAUUGCAAAAUUUAGGCUAAAAUACACAAAAAGAGACUCACAGUUUAGUGAAUCAACCCUUAAGGACAACUUGCUCCGACGGUCACAGGGGAAGUGUAGCAAACAUAUUGUAUCCUGAUUGAGUUGCAAUGGUUAUUCAUUGGAAAAUUAGCUUUUUUGCCUAAUUUGCAAUAUUUAAACACUUGUUGGUGGUCAGUGUCAGUUGCGACAUACAUUAGUAGACAUAAAAGACAGGAUUGGACCAUAGAAAUGUUCUGGUAUUUUUUUAGUCACAAAAAUGUAUUCUGAAAUUUCAGAAGCUGGAUGCAGGCAGAGGGGAGCUGAGACAGGUGCUGGAGGCAACUUAUUUUUCGAACGGUUUAGCCCCUGAAGUUAAGAAUGUGCCUGGAGGCCUCCUGGCACCAUCACACACAACUUUAUUUAGAUGAAGUUGUUUUGGUGCCUUGAGUGUUCCUUUAACAGCUGGGUUUUACAAACAUGCAUGGAAAUAAGAAAAAAUGGGAAAUAAGGGCUGCUCCAGAGAGACUUUAUAUAAAACAAUAAUAACAGUCCAAAUAAAAAGAGUCUUAUCUAAAAUGCUCUUAUUGGAGUCACAGAGUCUAUAAGGUGCUUGGUCAGGAACAAUGUCCUCGCUGUCCUCAUCCGUGUAGAUCCGUUCAUAUGCAAGAGAUAAAUCAAAUAGAGAACCAAAUAGUGCAAUAAGUCCAAUAAUAAAAUAAAUAAAAUAUAAAAGGCUGGUAUAAAACUCACAUGUACAAGAGCUAUAGCUAGCUCUAGAGUAAGAGGAGUAUAGCGGUACAAUCCACGCUUAUGGGAUAUGGGGUAAACUUCCUCCGUCAAUGUUAUGUUCGACACUCAAAUAAAAAGAGACAACCAAUAGUGCUCACUGGAUAAAAUAAUGGAAAUAAAAUAUAUAAAAUGGUACUCACAAGGAAGGAGCAGACCAACUGCUCCUUAAAGAUAGCGCUGGUGGUAUGAUCCCCACCUAGGAUUACUUGGAGUCCAGGGUAAUAAAAAAUGGCAGGUAAAAAAACUAUCUAAAGUGUAUGAAAAGAUAAAUUGCACAAGUAAAAAGUGACCAAAUAAUUUUUAAUAUAUAAAAAUACACAAUAUAAAAUAUCAACAAACGCGUUUCACCAAUAUGGCUUUAUCAAUAUGGAAUAAGGACGUGAUACCUGGCAAGAAAAGUUUAAAUAGCAGUUCAAAUCUUUGGAAUUGGCGCCAAAAUUAGGAACAGCCAAUCAGAACCUUAGUUGUAAACAGUCAAGUUUAAACAUAUAAAAACUAAAUUUUCUUAGUAAAUAUACAAUAUGAUAGGCUAUAUAUAGACCUUGUUUGGCUAUAAAACAUUAAAAACAAAGAUUAUUUUGAGUAGAAAUUACUUUCCAAUGCGGUCACAUGACCGGCAUGGUAACCGCAUGGUAUACUGGAAUAUAUCUACUAGACGUCAGCGCGCACUAGGCAACCGCCGACUUCAAAACCAGUAGGUGGAGAUUAAACGUCAGCACGCAUAUAGUUGCGGCUGAAGUCAGAAAAAAAGGGGCGUGUGUCUAUAUGACGACGGCAUGCGCAGAGCUGCGGCCAUCGUCAAGGAAAGUAGGCUGGAUAUAAAAGCCGACGGCACGCACAAAGCUGCGGCCGUCGUCAUGGAGACAAGACAAACUAAGAGGAAAGAAUAUAAAACGUCGGCACGCACUGAAUUGCGGCCGACGUUUGAAUAUGGGAGUGUGCCUGACACACUGAAAAGUGUCAUCAGCCAUGGUACCAUAUUUAACCUAUUAUAACUGCUAGGGGAGGGGUAAUAAUAAGAACAGUUUAUAAAAAGCACAUAGCCCAUCAUAUAAUUAUGACAAUCAGUAAGAUAAUAAUAACAAUAAUAGGUAUUGAAUAUAAACAAUAUAAGAACAUGAAUACUAUUAAAAUAUAAAUUAGAAAAUGAUAAUAAAUAUUUAUAAAAAAUUGAACAAAUCAAAAUCAGCAUUUAAACCGUGGGGUAUAAGAGUCUUGACUUUAUACACCCAUUCCAUUUCAGUUUUACCUAAAAUGUUUUUAAUAUUUCCGCCCCUCCAUGGAAUAGUACUUUUUUUUUUUAUUCCAAUACAUUUAAGCAUUCUUGGGUCCUUGUUAUGUUUGAUAAAAUGUUUGAAUACUGAGUGGUUUAAGUAUCCAUUUUUAAAGUUUCUGCAAUGUUCGCUUAAUCGCGUUUUUAAGCACCUUGUAGUCAUUCCAACAUAUUGGAGGCCACUUGUGCAUUCAAGCAGAUGAAUAACAUUUUUCGUUGAACAAUUAAUCGUCAUUAAUUUUAUAAACCUUGUUUGUCAUUCUUGAAAUAAAUUGAGUUACUUUAUGAAGUACAGUGGGAUCAGUAGUUCUGCAAACUAUACAAAUUUUGCAUUUACAAAAACCUUUGAUUUGCGUAAAGAAGAAAAAUGGGGGUGCAUUUUUUAUUUCUAAAAUUCUUAGUUAAUAUUGAUUUAAAGUUUGGUGCUCCCCUAAAUACUAUAUUCGGACGUUCUGGUAUAAUUUUAUUAAGUGUUUCGUCUUGUUUCAGAAUAUGCCAGUGUUUUUUUAUAAUCUUUAUAAAAAAUUAAAAAAAAAUUAUAAUUAAAAAUAAUAGGUAAAGGCAUGGAUUUGUCUGUAUUUUUUGGUUUGUAUUUUAAAAGUUUGUUUCUAUCUUUUUUUGGAUAUUCCUAAUAGUAUCUGUGAGUUCUAUUUCAGGGUAGUUCUUCUCAAUGAAUUUGUUUUUUAAAAAGUCUGCUUGUUUAUUAAAAUUGCUUAUUUCUGAACAGUUUCUCAGAAGUCUUAAUAUUUGGCUCUUCAGAGCACUGUCAAGCCAGGGUUGAUAGUGGCAGCUAGUUUUAUCUAUAGCAGUGUUCACACAUACUUUUUUUUAAAAACGUCUUAGUAUGUAUUUGUCCAUUUUUUAUAAAAAUAUUAAGAUCUAAGAAGUUGAUUUGUUCCCUGCUAUAUUCGUAAGUUAAAGUGAUACCUCUGUUAUUUAUAUUAAGAUUGUUAAUAAAAGAAUUAAGAUCAUCUUCAGAGCCUUCCCAAAUAAAAAAAGAUCAUCAAUAAAUCUAAAAAAUGAGACUAGGUUUGCUCUCCAGACGUGGUUGUUAAAAAUAGCUUCAGACUCCCAGUCAGCCAUAAAUAGAUUGGCGUAGCUGGGAGCAAACCUAGUUCCCAUAGCAUUCCCUCUUUAUUGGAGAUAGAAAGAAUUUAAAAAACAAAAAUAAUUAUUUUCUAAAAUGAUGUUAAUACCUUCUAAUGUAAAAUCAAUUUGUAUGCUGGAAAUUUUUCCUUCUUUUGUUAAAAUAUCUUUAAUAGAUUGACAACCUAUAUUAUGAGGUAUAAUUGUAUAUAGUGACUGGACGUCACAUGUGACUAAUAUAAAAUUGGGUUUCCAUAUAAAAUUGUUUAAACAUUUUAAGAGAGCCAUGGAGUCUUGAAGGUAAGAUCUCAUAAGUUUAACAGAGGGUUGAAGGAGGGUGUCUAUGUUUUGAGAGAGAUUACAUAGGAGGAAACCUAUGCCAAACACAAUUGGUCUCCCUGGUGGUAGGUUUUAAUUUUUAUGGAUUUUAGGGAGAAAAUAUAUGACGGGUAUUACAGGAAAUUUUUUAUUUAAAAAGUUAAAUUCGGGUUUAUUUAAAAUCCCCAGAUUUAAGCCUUUAUUUAAAAAUUGGGUUAAAAUUGCUUGUAUUUGUGAUGCUGGGUCUGAUAAAAGAUGUUUUCAUACACAUCUGUUUCAUUUAAUUGUCUGUGUGCCUCUUCUAUAUACAACUGGCUGGAUUGUAUAACUAUUCCUCCUCCUUUAUCAGCUGGCUUGAUUACAAUAUUUUUUAUCUUCUUGGGGUUCCUUUAGUGCCAAUCUCUCUGUAUGUGUGAGAUUCUGAACAUAGUGAGGGGGGCAGACUUAAAAUGAGCAGGGUAAAAUGUGGAUUUCUCUCGGAGGUGUGUAUUAAUUAUGUGAUGAUUGUUUGGGAGUGUGUGAGGGGAUAAAAUCUGAUUUGAAAUAGGAUUUUCUUCACUUUUGUCUAUAAAAAAUCUUUUAAGAGUGGCUUUCCGGACAAAUUUAUUAACAUCAAGGAAGGCUUCAAAAGGUUUAAAAGAGUUAGUUGGAACAAAUUUAAGACCUUUACUUAAAACUGAUAUUUGUGCACUAGUUAAGAUUUUUUGUGAAAGGUUAAAAAUGCCACUGUUAGUGUUAUAUUGAGUAGUUAUUAUCUUUCUAGUCUUUCUCUUUUGCUCACGUCUGCCACUUCUUCUUCCUCUAAAUUUAGAAUCCUUUUUUGUGACCGUGAGGGGUGUGGUGUCUGGACUAGUGUAGUGGGGUGAGUUCUGAUUUCUAAAAAAUGAUCUUCAUUUUCGAAUUCUGAGUCUAGUGAUAGUAGUUGAUAUCUAUUUUGGUGAUUAGGAAUCGUUGGUGAUUUGAAGUAAUUAGAAUAUUCUUUGUGAUCAUUGAUAUAUCUUGAUCUUUGUGGUUUAGGGGAUAGGUAUUUGUUUUGGAGUCCUGAUAUGUUGUGAUAUGUUGGUGAUAAUGGGGUUUUGUGAUGAGUUCUGUAUGAGUUAUUAUCCGUUGGGGAAAUGGGCGGUAUUGGUUGGUAUUAGUAUAGUGUGGUCUUUGUGGGGGGCCACGAUGGUUUGUGCCCUUUAUGUUUUGCUCUUUUUUCUUGUUUUAGGCAUGGAAAUAAGCCCACUGACUAUUAGUUCUUUCUUAAAUUCUUCCUUGUUUGGAUGAAAUGUAUACCAGAGAAAUAGAAUUCUCACUGCUUCUACAUGUCUACUGCAGGUAUGUGAUUAGUUUAGAAACAGCUAUAGAAUGUGAAAGCAAGUUAUAUAAUUUUACAUAGUUACAUAGCUGAAAAAAAGACAUGCGUCCAUCAAGUUCAGCCAUCUCACAUCUGUAUUUGCUGUUGGUCAAAAGAAUGCAAAAAAACACAGUCUGAAGAACUUCCAAGUUUGCAACAAACUUGCAAAAACGAUCCUUUUUGACCAUGUAGUGACAGUUUGAUAUUUCCUUGGAUCAAUAAGCUAUUACCCCACUAAUAAAAAGUUAUAUCCCUGUAUGUUAUGCUUUUGCAAGUAUUUAUCCAAUUGCUGUCUAAUCAUCUAUAUAGACUCUGAUAAAACCACCUCUUCAGACAGAGAAUUCCACCUCUUCAGACAGAGAAUAUUUUCUCUGCCUUAGACUAAAUCUCCUUUCUUCCAUACUGAGUGACCAUGUGUCCUAUUUAUCGUCCUGUUUAUGAACACAUUUCCAUACAAUGGUUUGUGUUGGCCCAGAACAUAUUUGUAUAAUGUUUCCAUAACUGCUCCGAGGCACCGUUUUACCAAACUAAAGAGAUUUAAAUUUGUUAACCUUCUUCAUAACUAAAAUGUUUGAUUCCUUUUAUCAAUUUUAUAGCCCACCUUUGCACUUUCUCUAGCGCCAUAAUAUCCUUCUUUAGAACAUUUGCCUAAAAUUGCACAGCAUAUUAAAGGUGUGUGUAGCAGAGCUCUCUGUACCCUGGCUGGGUACCUCCGCCAAGGACCACUUCCUAUCUGGAACAGGGGAAAACCUCAGCGCUGCUCCCCCAAUUCCCGUGGCUUAACUGGGUCCUCCUGGAGCCUCUUUGUCCUGGAGCAGGAUAGGGUACUAACUCUAUUCCCUCCCAGGGACUGGAUGACACACAGUCCUGGGAACUCUAGUCCUUACAAGGACUUUUCCCGCCGAAUGCUCCAUGAGAUGGAACAAGGUGUUAAGCAGUGAUUAUAGCCCUUCCCCUCCCAGUAACUAGACUACACAUAGCUCUGGGAGUACAACUGGUUUAAUGCAUCCAAACACAGCCUUUUUAUACACAGAACCCAGCAGGAGGUCUCCAUUGUCUUCAUCAAAAGCCCCACCUAGGAAUCUCUGGGCCAGGGAAAUAAUUGCGUUGAAGACUGGUAAGCUAAUUAUUUCCCAGGAACAGAGAGGCAAACAAACAUAAAAAUACCCAAAAACAUAAUAAAAACAUAAAAUGACCCCACAAAUAAUACCAUAGUCGGUGGGCAGAAGGCCGGCUUCUACACUCCUCCAGGAGUCCGUGGCAAACGUACGUGGGAAGGAGCAUUUGUCACAGUGUGGUCUUACCAGUGAUCUAUAAAGAGGCAAAAUUAUAUUUUCUUUUGAGAAUGAAUGACCCUAUUUAUACAUGAUAAUAUCUUAUUCGCCUUAGAGACUGCCGAUUGACAUUGCAUAUUGUUGCCUAUUAUGUUGUCUAUGACAAUUCCCAAAUUCUUCUCAUGUGUUAUCCCUAAUUCUGCCUGUGCUUGUUUGUGCAUGCUUGACCCCAGAAUGCAAUCACUUGCAUAUCUCUUGCCAUAUAAUCCUCCUUAAUAUAUACUGAGUAAAAAUAGUUAUUUGAAAUGUCUGCCCUUUCCUGGUCUUCAUUAACUAACACAAUCAUCUCUGUUUUCAUUGUACCUACAUUUUCAUGUUUGUUUUUUUAGAAUGUGUGUUCUUACAAAUGUUUUGGUGUUAGUUUUGCUCUCUCUGGCUAUUAAUUUUUCAUUUUCUAGUUUAGCACAUCAAAUUGCCUUUUUGCAUGCACUAUUGGCUUGCUUAUAUCUUAUAUACAAUGCCUCUGAUUGGCCGAUCUAAAUGCUUUGAAUGCCUUUUUCUUAUUUUGAAUAUCUUUGUUUACUUUCCCACUAUGCCACAUUGGUUUCAAUUUGUUUCCUUUAUUUUUAUUACACAAUGGUACAUACUAAGAAAUUUACUUUUCUAGUAUUUGUUUGAAGAUAUUCCAUUUAUCCUCAGUGGGUUUUUUUUUUACUAAAGAAUUUAUGCAAGUCAAUAUCUUGAUCUUGGGUAAAGCUGUCCUUAUUUUUCUUGGGUAAAGCUGCCCUUAUUUUAUUGAAAUUUGACUUUUUAAAAUGAUAUAUUUUAGUAUACCCUAUGUGCUUUUACAUCGAAGAACUGCUAAAAAAAUGUUUAAAUGUGAUAAUUUGCUAAAAAAAAAAAAAGACAAUUAAAAAUACCAUUCAGCCAGUCCUGCUCCUCUCAAUGACUUGGAUGUCAAUGUGAAUGCUGUGUCUAUGCAGCUUAGCAGUCAGUUUAUCUAUGAAAAUACAAACUGUAGGAAUGUAUGGGGGUUUGUGCUAUUGUUUUAAUUUGCUUUAAUUGUCCCAUAAAUGCCGAUGCUAAACAGCAUUUAGAGAAAAAUAAUAAUAAGUAACUCAACCACCCACUUCUUUCUCAAGUCUUUUUUUCCAGCUGAUAAUGGGAAUCAGUUAGCCUUGUGAGGAUAGCUAACUCUUAAUGCUGGAAAACAAACAGAAAUAGCAUGAAGAGGAAGAAGCAAAUUAAAGCAUACAAUAUACUAUAGAAAAAAGAGAGAAAUAAAAAUUGUGUGCACAAAGAAGCAUAUUCUAAUUAAAAAAUGAGCCAGAAAUGUGUUCCAAUGUCAUGUUUUGGAAGUAUUCUCUAUACUGUGUCCUCCAAUCGAUGCUGUCUUCCUGAGAGAAUACAGGUUGUCUUCAUCUGUAAAAAAUCUCAGCAUGUGCCAUUCAUUGCACAUGAAAGUCAAAUGGUAUGAAACCCGAGCUAGUGUGGGCAUUUUUAAUGAACUAUAACAAAAUGUUUAAAAGUCAUUAUAUAUUCAGUAUUUGUUGUUUCUCUUUCCAGAAACAUGAAAAUCGAAGAAGAAAUAGUACGGAGGGAAACACUUUUAUCAGGACUGAGACAUCAAUGACAAAGAGGGCAGUUGGUGACAAACCAUUUUAAGUUGUACUAAAUAAAGCCAACAAAACAAGGGUUCAAUAAUCUCUCUGAAACUAAUGAUGCACAACUUGCUACUCUUCAAGAACUUAAUUCUGAGAAGCAUUAAAAAGUCUCAAUAGAAAACAUUUGUGGAUUCUUCAGAAUAAAGACAUCUUCACACUUAACAUUGUGUGUGAGGAGAAGAUGCAUCUUUGUAGCUGAUGUCUGCAUUUCUGGAAUCAUGGUGGUUUGGCUUUAAUAUGAUCAAAAUGUGACCUUAAUUUGUCUUGUGUGAGAUAUAUAUUGGUCAUUCAUACAUACAAAGCUUGCAAGAAACAUCUCAGCUUUAUUCUGAUCUACUCAAACAGGCAAAGUAGGAACUUAUCAGAACUAACUCAAGAGAUGACUGAAGCCUAUUUCAAAUACCGUGGAAACCGAACUGUUUACAGCCAGCAAUUCCCAACAGUCGCUACAGAAGCCACAGCCACGACUACAGACAAAUAUUCCAAUCUGUAUAUGUACGUAGGGUUAUUCUUAGGUCUCCUUGCAGUUCUUUUAGUUCUUCUGUUUACAAUGCUCCUAAGACUUAAACAUGUCAUUUCUCCUAUUACCCCCAAUACUGAGAGCACUGACACCAUGCCACAGUUUACUGAUGUUGAAAUGCAAGGCAGAUCUCCUACCCCAUAAUAAAAUAUCACAGAAAGGAUUAAUUAUGUAAUCUUAAUCUUGCAAACAUGUAUUAUACAAGUCACAAGCUAGAAUCCACAGAAUUUUUAUGGUUUGAACAAGGAACAGUAACUUUUGUACAUUAAAAAAAAAUGUUUCUUAUUACAGGAUUAUCUGAAAUGUUAGUUUUGAGAAAUUCUAAGGACUGGACCACUGUAAAAAUAUUAGUUAAUGACCUGCAGAGCUGUUGCAACUCUAAUGUUCAAUGUAUGCAAAAAAGGUUUUUGUUUAAGGUGAUAAUUUUAUGUUUAGUUCGGGUAUGUCAUAACUGUAAUCCGAGACUUGGAUUAGAGCCAUUUGCUGCAUCUUUUUGGUGAUGUAGUCAAGAGAUCACAAUGAUAAUAUCAUCAACAAUGAACACAUCGUAAUGUUCAGCUACAACGUAGCUAGAUUUUGAUUUAUCCUUGGAGAACACCACCGAGAUAGUCUAAAGGGCUAAGUGGUCAGUAGAGUUGGAGGCACAGUUUCCAUGGCAAUAAAUAACUGAGCACAAAUCACAAAUUCUGCACAAUAUGUACUGCACACUCACUGUGUUUAUCAGUAACAUCACAUUGUCUGCAAAGUAGUUUAACAAAUCAUACAUUUUAAAAACCUAAGUCUGACAGCAGAUGGCCUUUGAUUAGAAAAAAAACAAAAAAAUCUGUUUUUUUUAUUCACCACCAUAUGCCUCUUGUGUUCUCAUGUCAGAUUGAGUUGUGUUCUAAUGCAAGACAGCAGGUUAUAGAAACUAUGAAAGGGGAGAAUGAACAAUGGAACAGCAAUAAUGAACCAUUAUUUAUGGUCGCCAGUGAUACCAUGAACUCAUAAUGAAAAAAGGUUAAUUAGUUUCUGGUUUGCUAACAGUUUAAAUGAAGACUCAUUAAAAUUUCAGUUCCAGUUCUUCAAAAUAAAUCUGCUUUGUUG
Pelobates cultripes (western spadefoot toad) is the source of this 54092-nucleotide non-coding RNA. The record is from the annotation of a GenBank genome assembly. NCBI's taxonomy places the organism in Eukaryota, Metazoa, Chordata, Amphibia, Anura, Pelobatidae.